RNAcentral lists this long non-coding RNA (76765 nucleotides) under Brachypodium distachyon (stiff brome). Its description in RNAcentral is "long non-coding RNA (BDIS_LNC001729)". Lineage: Eukaryota; Viridiplantae; Streptophyta; Magnoliopsida; Poales; Poaceae. The record is from RNAcentral.
AGAGGAGAGAGCAUGUUGGAAUGUAAGCACAUGACCCAAAGAACAUCGACGAACCUCACUCUUCGUCAGAUUCACCUGCAUUAUUGAUUGCAGCCACUACGUGGUCAAUACAUUUGAAUGUAUUGGCAAGUUCACCUGGAAGUUAUAACAAAUCCUACCAAGUAUAUGCAAUUGAGGUAUAGUGGGGUUCAGGCUUUAUGGCGUAAUAGCAAAACAUAGUUUAUCCUACUACAACUGAAUGUUACAUUAUUGUUAACUAAUGGACACCGGGUAGAAACACCGAUGCUCUUAUUAAUCUAAGGACAUCGAGUAGAUACAUCAAUGCUCCUAAACCCAAGUUCAAACGAUUCAUUUUAUUUAAAAAGUUGGAAUGAGUGAGACUUUCCUUACAGCCCCCAUAUCUAGUUGCUAAUAAUUGUCCGUAACCGGGGACACGGCUAAGUACUUAGUUUGACACUCUCUUGAGGUGGUACACUUUACCCACAAGAAACCGACGUGUUGAUCCCUUGCUGUCCUCAGGGUAGAGUAGCAACGGCAUCGAUUACAGGAAUUUUCAGAACAUAAUCCCCCAGACCACCUGAGGGACGCGCUCCCACCUACACGGCUACAUACCGAUGUCAUCCUCGAAUCCGGGUUCAUAUUUCUUACAUCCAUCUUGGCAGAGCCCAUAUUACCAUGUGGUUGUACUGGAAGCUACUAAACAGGAAAACUAGUCCAGUCUCUGGAUACCCCGGAAGGCAUUCCACAUUUGCGACGCAAGCGCUCCCCGAAUUCACGGGGAGACGUCCAUGGACGACCCGCCCCCGAAUCCAUGGGGACUCAACUCAGAGGGACCCAUAGAAAUGGACUUGACGUUGCAUAACAUCUCGAAUCCUCAAAGCCGUCCACCCAGGAUGGUUCAUUUGGGUUGUUUUGCCAAGUUUCCAAAAUUACUUCACAUAAUUAGUCUCACAGUGAUUGAGAUUCCCUCCCAUGUAUACUAACAUAGCAUGGCUAAGCAAUAUCUAAUCACGAUGGCUAUUGGUUGAGGAUUCAUGGCAAAGGUAACCCUAUAGCUAGUAGGUCAAUCAUAGCUAGCAUAAGUACGAGUAAUAGUCCUAUCAAUGCAUUUCUACAAACAAAUCUAAUGCAUAAAUAUUUAAGAAAAACAAACAGUAAUAGGAUAUGAUCAAAGUGAACUUGCCUUGGUAGCAGUUGGAGUUUAAACACUCGUCACAAUCACAAGGUUCGCUCUCCGAGUAAACUAAAACAAACAAGCAUACACACACAUAAACACAAAUUCACAUCAUGACAAAAGAAAGUAUGCUAUGAUGCGAUGCAAGCAUGUGACAAGAUUGGGUUUAUUUUAUUCGGGUGAUCAACUGAUCCAAAGCAUUAGCAAUUAAAACAAAUGCAUUAGGGUUUCAAACAAAAGGCAAAAACAAUUGAUUAAAAUCCUAAAUUAUUGUCUCAUUGGCAUCAGCCAAAUAAGUUAAUUCAAAAUAUUUAUUUCUCUGUCCCAAUGGACAGAGGAUAAUAAAACAAAAUUUUGGGCACUGGUUUCAAUUAAAAAGGAUUUCUAAAUAAUUAGUUAUGAAUUAAAUGGCAUUAAACCCUAUUCUGUAAAUUGACUGUGAUUCAAAUAUUCAAAUUUAAAUUUAAACAGUGCCAAAAGAUUCUACAUGUUGGAGCUUUCCAGAAAGGUAAAAUUUGUCAAAUUUGGCCGAAGGGUUUAAAAGUUAUUAGCAUUUGAAGUUCUAAGAGCUUUUCUGCAAAAGUGCCAUUUAAUUUAAACCGGGAUUAAGUUUUUAUUAAAAACCGUGACACAUGGCAGCCUCUGGUUGGACGAUACCGGUUCGGGAUUUCAAUUAAAUCGCAUCCGUCGGAUCUAACUAAAACACAAGGACGGCCCAGAUUUGCCCGUACCGGUUCGUUUAAAUGAUCUAAUCGCGGCCGUCCGAGCAAGAUCUAAUGGCAGAGGCUCGUCGGGCUUACCUCCGGUGAGGGCGGCGCGACGAGGCGGAUCCGAUGACGGCGACGAAAACCUCCGGGAGCGCACGAGGCAACGCCUAGGACGACAAUGGCGACGGCGGCGCGAGCUAGCUCCGGUCGGGCGACGGCGGUAGCCUGCGAUGGACGAAACGCGAAGUGGCGUGCAUUAAAAUGCGCGCAAUCAAGAAGUAGAAGAAGAGAGGGCAGCAGAUGGGAGUACGGACCUCGGUUCAUCGGCAACGACCAAGCGAAGGCGGUGGCGGCUCUAGGGUUCCGGCGAGAAAUUUCAUCGGCCUGGGGGCGUGAUUGCGAGGGAGGUCAGAGGGGAAGGAUGGAGAGGGUCGCGGCCUUUAAAAGGACGCGCUCGGGCUGUGGUUUAAGGGACGGAGCGAGGAGAUCUCGGCGGAGACGUCGUGGUGGCGAACAUGCCAGGCUCGCGCGUCGCGGCGGAGAUCCGGGGAAGACGAUGAUGGCGCGUGGGCCCUGCGGGUCAGCGGCUCGGGCGCGGGCGCUGCGGGCGGGGCUGGUUCGGCUCGGUCGGGCCGGCGGGGCUGGGCCGGUUUGGCCCAAUUCGGCCAGGCCGGUCCGUUUCUUCUUCUUUUUUUUUCCUUUUAGCCUUUUCUCUUUUUCUUUUUCUGAUUUCUUUGAUAUCUUUUAUUUUGAACUCUAAAUUGAUCCAAAUAAAUUUCAGAAAAUUUGUAAAAUCAUGUUUUAUCAUGAUUCAACUUUUGGGAGUAACUUCCCCUCAAAAUAAAAUAUAUAAAAAUACAUUUGCCCUAUAAAUGCCUUUAGGGCUAUAUAACUAUUUAAAUAAAAUAGUUUUUCAACUCCAAAUAAUUAUCCAAAAAUUAUGGGAUAGCUUAUUUAUGCAAUAAACCCCAUUUAUAGAUAAACCCUAUUGGUUUUAAGAUCCAAAGCUCAAAUGGGUGAAACCCUAGGGUUUAAAAUGAAAUAAAACCUUUUUAAAGCCUUUUGAGAUUCAAAUUUGAAUUCAAAUAUGCAAUUGUGGCAUGAUGCUCAUGGAUGCAAUGCAUAUGAAAGGUUUUGAAUUUUUGGGAUGUUACACGUUCUCUCUGCUCUUGGAGCACCUCAUUGAGAGCCGUGGCAAGGACGCGGUGGCUGUGCACCCUCCAGCGACACACGCGGAGGCAUGCACCGCCACCACGUCUUCGCGACGCCUCUCGCCUCUUGCACCGCCAUUUUUGGUGUCCUUUCGUAAGAGAUAUGGCAAGGCCACGAUGGUGGGAACACCCUCAGCGACAAGCGCAGAGGGAUGCACCACCAUCGCCUCUCUGCGACAUCUCUUGCUUUCUUGCCCGUUGCCGGUGUUGCGCUUGCUCCGGUCUUUAAAUAGCCAAAGCGCUGCCCUUGCCGCCACACGCACGGAACCGCCGGUUGACGCGUGGAGGCACUGGCCCUGUCUCAGAGUGCUGCAUCAAGCCUCGAAGUAAUUGCCAUAUACGUACGGCUUACCCGCAAGACGACGACACCCGUGACUGCUCCACGAGCGCCAUAGUGCGCCUUCGUCCCCGCUUUUAUCCUGCAUGUUAGAUCUUUGCAAUGCCCGAUUUUUUUUUUGAAAUGCACGAAAAAGACAACACUGAUUGGAUAACCUCCUGCUUCCCAGCCCCCGGGCACCGAAGAGUCAACCUCAGGUUUGGGUGUGAGCAUCUUCUCUAUUCCAUGGUGCCACGCUGGCACGCAGCAUGUUGUGAACGGGUUCACCAACUGCUGGACCUCGUUCCGGGGCAGCCCGGGAACGACCUUGGUUUUCGGGGUUCCGGCAGCCCCCUGCUCACAGCCAAGGAUGAGGAGGCAAUUCUGUGCACCUAGAGUAGGAGACAGAAGCACACAUUAAUAGUAAAACACAAUAGUUACUCAAGCAACACUUAUCUUUAUUCAACUUUGUGCUAGUGGAUUACAAUCGGGCCUUACCCGGCUACACUAGCUUAAAGAGGCACGCUGCCGCAGCGUCACCCGUGGGUAAGGCACCACCGUUUCAUGGGUAGAAAAUGCACAGGUGCUCAAUGUUUCAACUAUUGGGCACCGGCAAGCCUUCUUCGGUUUCCAGCCGGACAACCCCCGGUCUGGUCACCUGCACUACCCGGAAAGGGCCUUCCCAGUCUGGAGUCAACUUGUUCCCGGCCUUCGUUCCUUGUGUCCGGCGCAGGACGAGGUCUCCAACCUCGAGCCCCCGGGGACGGACUCUCCUGUCGUGAUAACGACGGAGCCUCUGCUGGUAGCCUGUAGCUCGCACAGCAGCCUGGCAUCGAAUCUCCUCGAUGAAGGUAAGGUCAUCAAUCCUCUGCGCGUGUUGGCUCUGGUCGCCGUACGCGCGUACCCGAGGUGACCCAUGCUUGAGCUCGAGGGGCAGCACAGCUUCUGCCCCGUAGACGAGGGCAAACGGAGUUUGGCCCGUCGCCCGACUUUGUGUAGUCCGUAUCGACCACAUCAUGGGCUAGAGUUCUUCAACCCAGUGUUUCCCGUGGCCCUUGAGCUUGUCAAAGUUUCUCGUUUUGAGCCCCCACAGUACUUCUGCGUUGGCUCGCUCCACUUGCCUGUUGCUCCUCGGAUGAACGACGGAGGCAAAGUGAAUUUUGGUGCCCAUGUCCUCGCUGUAAGCUUGGAACACUGCACUAGUGAAUUGUGUGCCAUUAUCGGUGAUGUGCCGUUAGGCACACCAAACCGGCACACAAUGUCCUUGAAAAACUUGAUGGCCGCCUGUGCCGUGAUAGCUCGAACAGGCUCCACCUCGAUCCACUUCGAGAACUCGUCGAUGGCCAUGAGUAGGUACUCGUAGCCGCCAACUGCUCUUGGUAAUUUCUCGACGAUGUCCAGCCCCCAGACCGCGAUAGGCCACGAGGACGGGAUAACUUGUAGGGCUUGCGCUGGCUGGUUGCUCUUCUUGGCGUGAAACUGGCACGCUUCACAGGUCUCGACUAGUUGCUCGGCAUCGGCUAAUGCUGUUGGCCAGUAGAAGCCAUGCCGGAAUGCUUUCCCAGCUAGCACCCUGGAGGCCACAUGGUGCGAGCAUGUGCCUCGAUGGAUAUCCUCCAGCAGCGUGCGCCCUUCUUCCUGGGCACGCAGAGGAGCAUAACUCCGUUAGGACGCCUCCGGUAGAAAUCCCUAUCCACCAGAGCGUACAUUUUAGCUUGCCGGGCCACUCGCUCCGCGGCAACACCUUUCUCCGGGAGGGUCCCGUCCCUGAGGUAGCGAACAAUAUCCGCCCCCUAGGGUGGCGGUUCCCGGCUCGUGCAUGCCACAAGCUUGGCGGCAUUGUCGCACCAGUGGCACCUGGGGUACCACCACUGCAUGACGCGUGGGCCAUCUCGCUUGCUCCCCGGGAGGAUUGCACCCCGGGCAGCACCUCGCGAGCUGCCCGGCAAGUACUAGCACGGCAGGGCUAGCCGGGCUGCGGGGGUUGCCUUGGAGGGCAGCAAGAGAAAUCCCGCCUGGGCGCUUCCCGGGAAGGUUACUUGCUGGGAAGGGCCUUCCCAGGCGCAGGCGCCCGUUACAGGAGCGGGACCGAGUGGGCAGGACAACGACGCCACGUGGCCGCUCGGCGGGCUCCCCAUGCACAGGGUUCGUCAGGACAAGGAGCGAAGCACACUCAAGCAUUAAAUGCAUCGACAGAAAGGGGAUUCCCCGUCCAGUCAGCCUACAGUGACUGGCCUGGUGUAAAUUUUUAGGCACGUAGGACCCUAGUUGCAGGGCUACCCAUCCUGCAUGCAAGCCAGCGCGGCAGGGCCGAGCUGCCCUGGCUCCUUGUUCGCCAUUUGUUACCCAUGCACCGAGGCACCUGUGGUAUCCUCUUAGGUAUAAAAGGAGGACCCCCGCCAACGGUCAAAGGGUUGGAUGGACUCUCAGUUCACUACUAAUUCUGGCCAAAAGUAGCAAGUAACACUUAGCUAAGAAGAGAGAGAGCACCCGGGGACUCCCUCCGGCAACUUGUAAACCCUUGCUCAUCGGUUAAAACCCUACGUCCUACUUCUGAGUUUGCUAUUAAAUUAGAGUAAUAAGGAGUAGCAAACUCAUCCAAGCCAUUAGAUCAAAACAAAUGAACGGCCCUAAUUAAUUCAGUGUACAGUAGAAGAGCUCUUGUAAGUAGUAGAGAAGUAGAGAAAAAGAUGAGAUGAGAUGUUGUGGAUUGUUUUUAAAAAUUCAUUUCAUUUUGAGCUAUUAUCACGAUUAUUACUACUGUACUACAAUACUACAUUGAGGAGAAACGUUGUGUCCUUCGCAAACCCAAAGCAUCUUACCUCUCAAUAAGCGUUCUAUGCAGUGAACAGUAUCUCUAGCAAAUGAAACUUUCAACUCAUGAUUUGAACUUACAACAGAAACUAUAGCAUUCAGUCGCAAUUGGAAUCUGAAAGCUUCGAACUGAGGAAUGUUUCAAACUUGACUUAAAAAUACACCGAGGGGGGGCUCAUAAAAAAGUUGGCUACAUCCAGAAUGCCACAGGAGUAGAACAGAUGUCAUUAAAUAUAUGCGCUUCAGUCAUGUCGUAGGAGUGCACUCUUAGCCGUGUUGUCCGGAGGUCUCCAUUUUUAUCAUACUUGAGAACAAACCUUGUCAUGUACAACACACGGCGGCGUGGCCCAUGACAGAGUUCGAAAGGCUGAUCAUCCUUGUGCACGAGAGACUCAAUUAGGCAGUAGUCGCUGUUCCCCAGAUGGAGAAGGGUGGCACCUAGGUGCCUCUCAUUGUCUGCAGAGAAGAGCUGGUCCUUUCCGAGCUUCCAAGCUGGCAUGCUACCGCAUUUGGCAGCCGUGGCAACAGGCGGAACAUCGCAGGAGCAGACGUAGCCAACGCCGCCUUUGUGACGGCAGAAUCCUACCCAAGCAUCAAGCUCGCCGUCAAAGUAGGCUUGGCCUUUGAAUGGCAUGACCCAUUUGCCUUGGCAUGUCCAGCCGAGGUUCCCAGUGUCCAAGCAGAAGGUGCUUGCCACUUCAGAGACGAAGAGUGACCGGCCGUCAGGGUGCACCGCGUAGGACACGAUGUGAGCAGACUGCAGCGGAGCCAAGGCUGAGCAUAUGGUCCAAGACCACUGUGUGUGUUCGUCAAUGAUGUCGCGGCAUGGCGGGGCAUCAAGCACACAUACGCAGGAUCCCACCAUCAUGUAAAGCUUGCCGGCAACAGAUGCGAAGACAGGCUUGCGCCAUACCUUCUCGCCGUUGGGGUGUGCGCAGAGGCUGAGUCCCAGCGUUUUUGUGUCGAAUACAGGGAACGAGCUGUCAGCGGUGCUCGAGACCGGCAUGGCCAGUAUGUUGGUGCCAUGCCCGCCGAAAUGAUGCAAACGGCAGUGAGGGCCGUCAAAGCGCACAACGGGGGGAUCUGGGAGGGGCUCAGCCUGCUCAUCCAGGUCGGCGCCGGCGUAAGAGUCGAAGACGUCGACGUCUACCUUGCGGACGCUGUAUCCCCUUUCCCAGUCAUCGACCACGAGAUAGACAUGCUGUCGCGGUUCAUGCGGCCGCCGCUUGGCCGUGUGGCAACAUGGCUGGAGCAUGUACUGCCGCUUAGACAUGUCGACUACUCGACUUCCUCCUCUCCGGCGGGACUAUGUGAUUUCUGUGCUGCCAGGAAAUAGAUCAACUCCUUAGAAUAAGAAAACCAAGACCGGCCCCUGAUAAAUAAGCCAAACGAGACCGAUUGGGAAACGAUGCGGCUUGAUUGUAACCGAAUUCCACUCAGAUUAGCAAUCAACCAUCGGAUUGGAUUCAGGGAAACAUUUACCGCCGAAUCCGACUCGCAUGCUGACUGGCUAUGAACUAGCCGAGGGCGUCCAUCGCUUCCCUCUAGAGAGGCAUGGCGACAGCGGAGGAUCUCCCACCGCGACAGCGAGGGCUUUUUGCGGCGGCGAGGGUUUUGUGCGGGAUUGCGGCGGCGGGGAGUGAAGCAAACAGCGGGCGUUCAGUCCCCAUAGAUCAUGGACCGCGGGGGAGAUUGACUGGGCUGGGCUUGGCACAUAGGCCUGUUCGGCACAUAGCCACAUAGGCCAUAACGGCAGUUUGGGGUGGCACGAGUUGGAGUAAAUUUCCCUAAAAAAAAGAAACGAGUUGGAGUAAAUUACGAAAAACAACCGCGUGCUCUAAAGAAAAAAGGAUCGACUUUUGUCUCUUCGGCGCGGCCGCUUUACUUGGCUAUGGAAGUAUGCUGUAUCCCUUUAUACGUUUAAUAAAGGCUGUGUGUUAGGCUAAAAAGACAAAACGAAAAGCAAACCAUAUCGAGGGAUCGAGUUUCAAUUAGACACCUGUAUUUUUUUUUAUUAUUUUACUAAAAAAAGCACCACUUUCCUGGCCGACGGUUGCUUUUUUUAAACAAAGGGAUUUUCCCCGUUUCAUUAACGAAACCAUAUAUAGUUUUACAAGAACUUAAACAGUAACAAACAGCAGCAUCCUGCUCAACACGGCAGGACCAGGCGCAGCUGGCUGUAAAAAAUGAACUGAAGGCCAACACCUCAACGGUUAAGCAGACCCUCAGGCCCUAUUCGGUUCAAAGGUUUUUCACAGGAAAUAUACGAAUUGGUGUUCCGCAGGAGUCUCUGAGAAAUGGCCGUUCGGAUCACAGGAGGUGAUAUCAUAAUUUCCUCUGGAAUACUGUUCCAGCCCCUCCAAUCCACAGGAAUUGAAGAAUCCAGUCGGAGCUCAUUUUUUGCGUAUGCCCGAUAAAGAUCCGUGGCUUGCUAAUAAAAUAACUGGGUUUGUGGGUUGUUGGUGUGUGCCAGACACUCCAGUCUAGAAACAUAUUUGAUGACUAGGUGCUUAACCAAGGAAACCACAUGCAGCCAAAUAAAAAAAUUCAGAAAGCUGGUACUUCUUCCUCCGUUUUUCUAUGUUGUACCGAAUACUCAGCUGUCUGGUUUACCUCCGUUUUUUAUUACUCAGUUUUGCACCUCUGUUCCUUUUCUAUUUCUCUGGUUCCUUCCAUUCCUAUGUUUUGUAUUCCUUUGAACCGAAUAGUCCCUCGGACAGAAACCCAACGCUAAGUCAGCACACAGAAGCAAAACCAACCCUAAUGAUGGCAGACAGCAGACACCACGGCGACGAGCACAAUGUUCAGCUAGCAGUGAUCCUCCUCCCUGUGGCGCCCAUCCCCUAGAUGUGAGAUCGACAUAGGCAAUCAGAGAGGGGUGAAUGAUUGCGCGGAAGUAAAUUAAAACUUUUCCCGAAAGUUCAAACCCUAAAUCACCUUUCUGUCCGUGAUAGUAAAACAGUCUUAAAUUUUGAUUGGAUGAACCAAAAAAUACGUAUGAGUAUGGAAAAGAAAGGUAUUAAAAUUAUCUAACCAACGCAACAAGAAUCAGCUCAAUCAGACUUACCAAUCAAAAGAUAUGAUCAAAAUAGUAACAGCUGACAGAAAGUUACGAGGAUUAAUAUAAAACCAAUUUCGAGGAAUAACAAGAAAGAUGAAUUAAUCGCAAUCUUCUCUUGAUCUCGUGAUAAACCUGCAGCAAAGUAUUAUGAACUUGUGAUGAACCUGCACCAAAGUAUUAGAAAGAUCUAGCACGAAGAUUUCACGAAGAUCCGAGAAGAACAGAGAUGACACCGCCAACGAAUCUCUUUAUUGCAACGAUGUCGAUCGAUUACAAAAGAUGCAACCAUGCAUCCAAGAACUCUCCAAGAAUUGAUAUAGAUCCAAAGCUUUGAGUUCUCUCACGUCCUUGCUAAAACCCUAGCUAGGAUGACCUCUAUUUAUAAGGGAAAAUUCGCGACCCUAAACCGAGUCCGAAUCCAACACGAACUCCUCUGUCCCGGUCGUUAUUCUGCCCGUGGGGCCCACAGACGACCUCGGAUUAAGAUUACUCCAAAAGCAAAGUUGUUCGUCUCGACGACGCGCACAACUCUCAUGUGGACCACUUUUCCAUCCAACGCCAUCUUGAUGACGCUACUGUUUAAUCUUUAAACAGCUCUCAUCCAGCCACGACUGGAUCUACAUAUCUUCACGUCGAUGCCACUCCAUGCCAUCCACUCUUUUUGUGAUGUCUUCAAAACUCGACCAUCACGUAUCGAAUAUCUCCAAUACCGUACAUAUCCGGUAUAAACAACGUACGACAAAUCGGUGCCCUCCCGGAUCAUCGUAGCCUUCACUUUCAUUGUUCCUUCACACGAACGUCCCGCAUGACCUUGAUCCUCGACCUCAGCUUCUCCCAAGCUUCGUCCCUCGAUCCCGUCAUCAACCACGUUCCUCUAGCUCCGGCAACACUUGAAAGCGAACACACAAAUAACCAGUACGAGCACAAGUCCACGACUUGACUCAGGGUAAGUUCCACACAACUCACGCCAUGUUUUCACAUAAGAAACUAAUGGAUCAGCACAUCACUAGCAAAGCACUAAAUCCAAACAAGAUACAUGUCAUCACUUAAAUAUCCAUAUUAUCCAAAGUAUCCACAUCAAUGUUUCAUCUAAAACACUUGCCAAUGUUACACAUCACCUAUGAUUUCACACUAGAUCUAGCUAAAUUUUUUUUAAAUAAUAUGAUUUUUUAAUAUUUUUAAAAAUAAUAAGUGUUUUUUAAAAAUUUCAAAAUUAAUACGGCCUCCUCCUCACCCAGGCCGAUUAGGCCUGCCGAAGCUGAUUAGGGCCAUUCGGCCUGGGCCAGGCUAAUUGGAGGCAGGCUGCUCAGAGCCUGGGUCCCACAAGAGGCAGUCGGCAUGGCCCAAGCCGACUGAAGCCCAGUUGGUUUCGCCCAGGCCGACUGGCUUCAGUUGGUUUCGCCAAAGCCGAUUGAAACUAAUUAGGCUAAUCAGCUUCGCCAAAGCUAAUUAGUUGCAUGAUCAAUGCAUACACGUACGAUGGACAAUUUUUGUGUCGAAUCCUUGCGGUUUUUUGAACUAAAAGACUUGACAAUUUGAAUAAAUUAGCAUACAUCGAUAAUACCACAAUUUGAUGUGCUGGUUACGGAACCAAGUCACGACUAAAUUAACAUACAUCGAUAAUACCGCAAUUGGACAGAAUUAAAGAUAACAAAUACAAUUGAAACACAGUACAAGCACUACUGAGUCCACUCAGGCCAUUUUCCAGUCUUAUCGCCACAUUCUUCUACAGCCUUUGCCACGGUGGCCCUUUCUCUUUUCCUCUCACUUUCUGCCUCACGAGCAUCCUUGCGCCUUCGUUCCUCCUCUUUCAUGCGAAGUGCUUUCACCCUGUUUUCCCUCAGUGCUUCAUCAAAGUAACGACGUUGUUCCUCCCUAUGCUCUUUGAGCUCUCUCUUGCUCCUAUUUCUCCUGGGCUGCAGCUUUUGCCACACGCUCCUCCACGUGGAAACGCUGCCAUGCACUUCGUGACCUUGUGUUAAUCUCUUCCACCGCCCAAUCUGGCAUCUCCGUGUCAAUCCAACGAUACCACAUGCAUAGGGGCGGAGGAGACUACAAAAAAGCCUAAUGUUACAAAUAAAUCGAAUAUGACACACACAACAUGUUUAAGCAUACCUAUAUGUGCUUACCGGAGGCUUGUCGUACGGCGAAACUGGGACAGGUGGAUCAUGCUCAUAGUUCGCACACAUGAAAAACUUCAUGCGCAGCUUAUCUGAAAAAUAUGUCACCUCCUUCACCUUGCAUAGAUUGCCGCAUCAACACCUGAGAUGUCCCACCCCCGGAGGCAACAUCGCUUCUUUCAUCUUCCUCGGCCUCUCACCCUGGUCGGAGCAAGGCAAACUCAUUGGGGGACACUGGAAUAUUCAAAAAAACAGUAGUGCGAAGGAUGCUUGGAUGACAACCGGAUAUGAGGUAUUUAUAAGCUCUCAAACUCAUUCUCCCGCCACCGUUUCCCGCCAUGUUCUCCCGCCAUCGUUUUAUUUGUAUCUUCUGUAACUAUAAAAGACCGUCCAUAGUAUUGAAGUGUAGUCUCACCAUUUCGUCUAGGAAGAUGUCGUCCGGCUUCCCAGAUGAUCGUAGAUGUUGGUCAGGUAUGUCCCGGAGGCUAUUGUGGUUAGCCGGUGAUUUCAAGGUAGAUAAUAGGAUAGUUCAAUGGGACAAACUCAUUAGUAGUGACACCCUACUAACUAGCUGGGCCACCAAUUAAGAAGGUGCAGAUUCCCAUUGAGGACUUCUGUAGAGAUACGGCAAGAACUGCUAAGAUUGCACGAAAGGUGGAAGAAGCACAGUCAAGGUAAGAGUGAGUCAUACCUAGAAUGGUGAAGCGACCGCCCCCGUACAAGGGUUCGAUCUCUGUGCUUUUAGUGCUAGUACCUGAAUCGACUCACUAGCACACACAGUUUCAAGAUGUAAUAUCAUAGAACAAAGGUCUCAAGUAUUACAACGCAAUUUCCAGAAUUUAAGAAUACUUACAAACUGGCAUAACCACUUGGGUUAGCUCGAAUUAAAACAAAAGUUCAACAGCAGAAAGCGAAAGAUACAAGGGCUACAUUAACACCACAGUGAGAGCAUGUUGGAAUGUAGGCCCGUAACCCCAAGGCAAAUACGUACCCUCAAUCUUCAUAAUGCAACUAAUAAAGCAACUAGUGCAUAGUAAAAAUAUUUGGGAGAUGAUCAAAGUGAAACUUGCCUUGUCCAAAGCUGUGGUAGUUUUCGCACUCUUCGCAACAACAAGGUUCACACUCCAAACAAUCUAAAAUAAAAGAAUACACACACACACACACACACAUAAACAUGCUACUCAAUACAAAAACAUGCCAUGAUGCAUAGAUACGAUGAUGCACACAUAGAUUGGUUUUAAACUUAAAGGGUUUAGCUUCUGUUUUAAAGAGCUUUACAAAAGGUUUGAACAGAUUAUAAACUAAUAAGGAAGUAAUUACUUUGUAUGAAACAAAGGUGAGAUUUAAUAAAGGCUUAAUUGAUCUCUUUAUAAGGCAUGGAGCAAGAUUAAUUUGGUGUGGCAAGAUUAUUUACAAAAUAUUUUCCCCUCUAGUCCUAAGAGUGUAUACUCAAAACAUUUUUCAACAUGAUAGCAGGUUCAAAAUAAUUUUAAAACUAUUCAUAUGAAUAUUAAACCAUAACUAAGCAUUCUGUAAUUUGGUUCUGUUAAAGUUGUUCAAAGUCAAAAUUAAACUAUGCCAAAAGAUUCUAUAAGAUGUGAGGAUUCCAGAAAGGUGCGGAACUUCAAAUUUGGCCACACGGUUUAAAAGAUCUGAACGUUUGAAGUUUCAGGAGCUUUUCUGCAAAAGUCCCUUUUAAUCUCGGUCCGGGAAACAUUUUAAUAAAAAGGGUGGCACGUGGCGUCUUUCUAUUAGCCGGUACCGGUUCACUUAAGUGGACAAAACUCAGGCGUUGGAUCUAGAUCGGACGGACGAGAUGGGGCCUUCCUUACCUCCGGCUAGGGUUCCUUCUCCGGUGAGCUCGGUGGCGGCGGCGGCUUCGGGGGAACGGCAGCGCGCGUCUCCGGUGCGGCUCCGGCUUCAGGACAAGGUGGGGGAGGUGCGGCUUGACGUGGCGAACCUCGUGGCGGGGGAGUUCUUCCACGCGGUCGACGGAGGCGACGCCUAGGGGUCGGGCCGGCGGCGUGCUUCGGGCGUGACGGCGAACUCGAGCUUCAGUGCUCCAAAAAUAAAAAGUAACCGCGUCAAAAGCUUCGUAAAGGGGAGGGGAGAAGGAAAAAUGGGGUGGCAGCGACUGCGGACCUUUUGGUCAUCGGCGGCGAGCUCCACACGGCGGCGACAAUGGCUAGGUGGCACGGGCAAAAUUAGAGUAGUUCGGUGGUGGUUCGGGGGAGAGAGGAGAGGGGAAAAGAAGAGGAACUCGGGGGCUUCAAAAUGACGCGCUUGGACUCGGAUAUGGGAUCGUGUACGCGGAGGAAACGGAGUGGAGUUCGUGCGUUUGGAGGACUCGGACAGCGUGGGGUCUUCGGGCCGGCAGUGGGAGGUUGAAGGUGAUACUGAUGGGUGGGGCCUGCCCGUCAGAGGCUCGGGCGUGCACGCAGGGCUGCGGCCCGGCUCGGUGCGCUGAGGUAAGUGGGCCGGCCCGGUUGGGUCGGUCCGGUUACCUUUUUUUUCUUUUCUUUUUCUUUUUUUCUAUCUUUUGAAUGCAACUUUUGUUUUAAAGCUCCAAUUCGAGUCAAAUAAAAUGCAACAAAAUUUAUAAAAUCAUAUUUUCGUAUGAUUCAACUUUUGGGACAAGAAUUCCCUCAAAAUAAAAUAUUUAAAAAUACUUUUUCCUAAAAACUAGCCUUUAGGGCUUUUUAGCUAUUAAAUUUUUUUAGUGUUUUCGAAUUCAAAUCAAACACCAAAAUAUGGGGUAGCACCUUUAUUGCGUUAAACCCCUUUAUGAAAUCACCCUCAUGGGUUAAGAUCCAAUUGACAAAAGAAAGGUAAAAGAAAAGAUUCAAAUAAAAGGGCACAUUGUUAUUGAGUUCAUCUGAGUUUGAAAAUUAUGGUUUUAAAUGGGGUUGAAUGCAAAGGUUAUAUGAUGCUUAUGAAAUGCAAUGCAUAUGGAGGUUUUUUUUGAAAAUUGGGAUGUUACAGACCUAACCCCCUUAAGAUGAAUCUCGCCCUCGAGAUUCCUGCCGGUUAGCAAAUAGGUGUGGGUGGUCUUCUCGAAGAUCUUGUUCGCGCUCCCACGUAGCUUCUUCUUCGGUGUGGUGAUUCCGCUGUACCUUGCAGAAUUUGAUGGUCUUGGUACGAGUAUUUCUCUCUACGGUAUCCAAGAUCCUGAUCGGCUUCUCUUCAUAAGUGAGGUCGCUUUGUAUCUCGACUUCUUCAAGUGGAACUGUAUCCCUCAACGGUGUAUCAGCUAUUUCUGGGUGACACUUUUUCAGUUGUGAUACGUGGAACACGUUGUGGACGCUCGUCAACACUUCCGGUAAUUCUAACUUGUAAGCUACCUCUCCUUGGCGUGUUAAAAUCUUGUAAGGUCCAAUGAAGCGCGGUGCUAAUUUUCCUUUAAUCCCAAAUCUCUUAACUCCGCGUAUCGGAGAAACUCUGAGAUACGCUCUGUCACCAAUCUCAUAGGUGACUUUUCUAUGCUUGGAAUCUGCAUAACUCUUCUGCCUGGAUUGAGCUAUCUUGAGUCUGUCUCGAAUUAGUCUGACCUUCUCUUUGGCAUCUUUUAUCAUGUCGGGACCGAAUAAACUACGGUCUCCUACUCCAUCCCAUAAAAGAGGUGUCGUGCAUUUCUUGCCACACAAAGCUUCGAAAGGUGCCAUUCCAAUGUUUGAUUGAAAACUGUUGUUGUAUGAGAACUCUGCAUAUGGUAGAUUCUCAUGCCAGCUAGAACCAUAAUCCAGAGCGCAAGCUCUUAACAUGUCCUCGAGGAUUUGGUUCACUCUUUCGGUUUGUCCAUCCGUCUGUGGAUGAAACGCUGUGCUAAACUCCAGUCCCGUGCCUAGAGACUCAUGCAAUUUUCCCCAAAAUCUUGAAGUAAACUGAGUACCUUUGUCUGAGACGAUCUCUUUAGGGACUCCAUGUAGGCACACAAUUCUAGACAUGUAGCGUUUGGCCAACUGAGCACUUGUAUAAGUGGUCUUCACAGGUAUGAAAUGAGCAAGCUUGGUCAAACGGUCAACUACGACUCAUAUCGAAUCAUAACCAGACCUUGUCCUCGGUAAGCCGGUGAUGAAAUCCAUGCCUACUUUAUCCCAUUUCCAGUCUGGCACUGGCAACGGUCGUAGUAGUCCAGCUGGUUUCUGAUGUUCAGCCUUGACUUUGUUACAUACAUCACACAGAGAAAAAUGCUCAGCGAUAUCUCGAUUCAAUCCUGUCCACGUGAAUAUAUAUUUCAAGCUCUUGUGAUCGGUGAAUAAUUCACAAUACUUUCCCAUGGGAUAGUAUCUCCAAGUUUUGAGUGCGUGCACUACAGAUGUGUGGGAGCACGGUCUUCGGUACCGGGGAUGCCGAGCACCCCCUGUCGCACCAGUGGCACCCGGGGUACCACUGUUGCUUGACGCGUGGGCCACCUCGCUUGCUCCCCCAAGGGUUCGCGCCUGUAACAUCCCAAAAAUUCAAAAUCUUUCAUAUGCAUUGCACUCAUGAGCAUCAUGCAACAAUUGCAUAUUUGAAUCAAAUUUGAAUUCCAAAAAGGCUUUAAAAAGGUUUUAUUUCAUUUUAAACCUUAGGUUUUUCACCCAUUUGAGUUUUGGACUUCAAACCAUUAGGGUUUAUCUAUAAAAGGGAUUUAUUGCAUAAGUAAGCUAUCCCAUAAUUUUUGGGUAUUUAUUUGGAGUUGAAAAACUAUUUUGUUUAAAUAGUUAUAAAGCCCUAAAGGCAUUUAUAGGGCAAAUGUAUUUUUAUAUAUUUUAUUUGGAAGGGAAAUUAGUCCCAAAAGUUGAAUCAUAUUACAAUAUGAUUUUACAAAUUUUCUGGAAGUUAUCUGGAUCAAUUUGGAGUUCAAAAUCAAAAGAUAUCAACGAAAAACAGAAAAAGAAAAAAAAGGAAAAAGGUUAACGAAAAAAAAAGGAGAAACGGACCGGCCCGGCCAUUUUGGGCCGAACUGGCCCGCUUACCGCGCGCGCAUCGCAGCCCCGCAGCACCCCGCGCCUGCGCCCGGCCGCUGACUAGCGGGACCCACCUGUCAGGGAGCUCCUUCCCCGACAGGCAAGCCCCCGAAUUCCGCUGCCCGCGCCGCCGCCUGCCAUUUACGCCGCCGCGCGCCGUCUCCACCGCAAUCGCCUCCCUCGUCCAUUAUUUGCAGCCCCGACCGCGUCCCUAUAAAGGCGACGGCCCCCUGUCUCCUUUCCCCCUAAAUCCCCUUGCCACCACGCCGCCAGGUCGCCGAAAUUCCUCGGCGGAGCGAGGAGCCCGCCGCCGCUGUUUUUGCUUCGGGUCGACACCGCCGGUGAGCCAUGUUGCACGAACCCACAAAUUUCUUGAUCCCCUCGAUCUUGCGCGCGUUUUGACGCGCGCGGAUUUGUUUUUAGUGCCCCCUAGCAGCCGGAGCUGCGCCGCCCGACCUCGCCGGAGUCCGUACCCACGCCGCCGGAGCUCUCCGUUGUCCCAGGCGUCGCCUCAGUCCUCGUCCCGUCGUCCCGUGUGCGUCACGACCUCCGCCUCGUCGCGCCGCCCACGCCGGCGGUCUUCCCCGAGCCCUAAGACCACCGGAACCCCGUCCGCCGCCCGCCCGCACCGUGCCACGCCGCCGCCGGACGCCGUUCGCCAGAACCCUAAGGUCCCCGGAGGUGAGCCCGACCCCUCGUGACUGUUGGAUCUCGGCCAACGGCCGAGAUUAAAUCCGCGUUAUGCUUUAAGUGAACCGGUACCGACCAAUCACGGCUUGACACGUGGCACUUUAAUAGAAAACGAAAAUGUAAUUUUUAUUCCCGGAUUAAUUAAAAUGGCACUUUUGCAGAAAAGCCCCCGAAACUUCAAACGUUCAUAUCUUUUAAACCGUUUGGCCAAAUUUGAAUAACUUAACCACAGAGAAUUUACAGAAAGGUAUUUAAUGCCAUUUAAAUCAUAUCUUUUAAUUUAGAGAUCCUUUUUAAUUGAAACCAGUGCCCAAAAAUUUGUUUUGCCGUCCUCUGUUCAAUGGGACAGAGAAAUAAAUUUUUUGAAUUAAAUUAAUAGGCUAAUGCCAAUAAAACCUUGUUUUAGGGUUUAAUCUCUAGGUUUUGCAUUUUGUUUUUAAACCUAAUGCAUUAUUUUUAAUUGCUAAUGCUUUGGACUAGUUGAUCACCCGAAUAAAUUAACUCAAUCAUGUUACAUGUUUUGCAUUGCAUCAUGGCAUAUAUCUCCUUUUGAUUGUAUUGUGUGUUUAUGUAUGCAUUGUUUGUAUUUGAUUAGUUUUCUCGGAGAGCGAACUGUGUGAUUGCGAAGUGUGCUUGAAUUCAACUGCUAUCAAGGCAAGUUCACUUUGACCAAUAUCCUAUUAUUUUAUUAUGCACUAGUUUUUAUUAGUUGCAUUGUUAGGAUUAUUAUUGUACCUAUGCUAGCUAUGAUUCUCCUAGUAGUAUAGGUUACCCUUGCCAUGUUCUUACCACCAAUUGCCAUCGUAUUAGUCAAAUGCUAUGCUAUGAUAGUAUACGAGGGUGGUAUUAUUACAAUGUGAUGUUAUUGAAUUAAAGUAUGGUUUUCCUAGUGUAUGGCAAAACAAGUAAUUCAAUGAACCGUCCUGGGUGGGCUGCUUUGAGUAUUUGAGAUGCAUGCGACGUCAGGUCCAUUUCUAUGGGUCCAUUUCUGUGAGUCGUCUCACCAUGUCUAUGGGAGCACCUGCGUCACAAAUGUGGGAUGCCACCCGGGGUAACUAGAGACUGGACUAGUUUCCUAUUUAGUAGCUUCCAGUACAACCACAUGCUAAUAUGGGCUCUGGCUUGAUGGAGUAAGACAUAUGAUCCUGGAUCCGAGGGAUUGUGCAGAUGUAGCCGUGUAGGUGGGAACGUAGGUCCCUCAGGUGGUGUCGGUGACUAUGGUCUGAAAAUUUUUGUAAUCGACGCCGUUGCUACUCUAUCCUGAGGACAGCAAGGAAUUAACACGUUUAUUUCUUGUGGGGAAUGUGUACAACCUCUCGAGAGUGUCAAACUAAGUACUUAGCCGUGUCCCCGGUUACGGACAAUUAUGAGCAACUAGAUUUGGGAGCUGUAAGGAAGGUCUCACUCAUUCCAAUUUCUUAAUAAAAUGUAUGGUUUGAACAGGGUAGGAGCAAUUGAUGUGUCUACUCAAUGUGCUCUAGGCUAAUAGGAGCAUGGGUGUUUCUACCCCGUGUCCAAUAGUGAUAAAACUAUUUGUCUAAAAAUGAUAGGAUGAAACAUUGAUGCUUUUAUGCAAAUAGCCAAACCACUACCUUGCCAAAUAAUGCAUAUACUUGUUAGGUCUGCUAUAACUCUUUGGUGAACUUGCCAAUACAUUCAAUGUAUUGACCCCCUAGUGGCUGCAACGUUUAAAUGUUGCAGGUGAACCAGGUGAAGAGUGAGGUACGAAUUGUUAAGGCUGCGAGUUUACAUUCCAAAAUGUUUCGACUAUGGAGUUGUUACGGGACUCCUGUAUCUUCUGCCUUCCGCUGCAAGAUUUUAUUUUCUCUUGAGCUAACCCAUGAGGUUAUGCAAUAUGUAAGGUACAAUUUAAUUCUGGAUCAAUAUGAUGCAAUAUACUUUUGACAUUUGUAUCUUGAUAUUACAUCUUGAAACUGUGUGUGCUAGCGAGUCGAUCCAGGGACUAGCACAGUAAGCACAGAGAUCGAACCCUGUACGGGGGCAGUCACUUCAGCGCCCCGAGCAGCAUUGCGCGAGCUGCCCGGCAAGUCACCUGCCCGAAAGGACUAGCGGGGCUGCGGGGAUUGCCCUGGAGGCAGCAAGGGAAUUCUUGCCUGGGCGCUUCCCGGGAAGUUCCUUGUCGGGAGGAGGGUUCCUGGGCGCAAGUGACCGUUACAGGAGAGGGGCCGAGCGGACAGGACAGCAACGCCACGUGGCUGCUUGGCAGGCUCCCUGUGCGCAGGGUUCGUCAGGACAAAGAGUGGAGCACACGCGAGCAUUAAAUGCACCGACAGAGAGAGGAUUCCCCCUCCAUUCAGCCUAAAGUGACUGGCCUGGGGUAAAUUUUAGGCACCUAGGCCCCUAGUUGCAGGGCUACUCAACCUGCAUGCAAGCCAGCGCACCGAGGGGGAGCUGCCUUAGCUCUUUGCCUGCCAUUUUUCACCCAUGCACCGUGGCACCUGUGUUAUCCCCUUCGGUAUAAAAGGAGGACCCCCGCCAACGAUCAAAGUGUGGGACGAGUUUCCAGUUCACUACUAGCAAUAGCUCGAAGUAGCAAGUACCCCUUAGCGAGAAGAGAGAGCACCAGGGGACUCCCCCGGGCAACCUGUAAACUCAGGUUCACUGGUUAAUAGCAAACUCAGAAGCAGGACGUAGGGUUUUACACCUCAGGGUGGCCCAAACCUGGGUAAAAACGUGCUCGUGUUCAUUGUGUUCUUACGCCUCGCAUUGGCCUCGCCGGCGAUCCCUGUCGCUCACUGCCGAACCUGAAAGGGGGUACCCGUGCAUCCCCGGUGUCGGAGCCCCGUGCUACGACACCCCCUUUUUGGUUCGGGGGAGGGCAAGGGGAUCGCUCCGGCGAUCGCCGGCGUGGCGAAAGACACGAAGUGUACACAAGAGUUUUUACCCAGGUUCGGGCCACCCGUAGGUGUAAUACCCUAUGUCCUGCUUUGAGUUGUAUUUCUUAGUAUGGUUGUUACAGGUUGCCGGGGAGUUCCUGGGCUUUGCUACUGUCGUAGCACGGGGCUCCGACACCGGGGAUGCGCAGGCACCCCCUUUUAGGUUCGGCAGUGGGCGACGGGGAUCGCUCCGGCGAUCGCCGGCGAGGCCAAUGCAAAUCGUAGGAACACAAUGAACACGAGCACGUUUUUACCCAGGUUCGGGCCACCCUGAGGUGCAAAACCCUACGUCCUGCUUCUGAGUUUGUUAUUAGCCAGUGAACCAGGGUUUACAGGUUGCCGAGGGGAGUCCCCGGGUGCUCUCUCUUCUUGUUAAGGGGUACUUGCUACUUCGAGCUAUUGCUAGCAGUGAACUGGGAACUCAUCUAACCCUUUGACCGUUGGCGGGGGUUCUCCUUUUAUACCGAAGGGGAUACCACGGGUGCCCCGGUGCAUGGGUGACAAAUGGCGGGCAAAAAGCUAGGGCAGCUCCCCCUCGGUGCGCUGGCUUGCAUGCAGGUUGAGUAGCCCUGCAACUAGGGGCCUAGGCGCCUAAAAUUUACCCCAGGCCAGUCACUGUAGGUUGAAUGGACGGGGAAUCCCCUUUCUGUCGGUACAUUUAAUGCUCGCCUGUGCUCCACACCUUGUCCUGACGAACCCUGCGCACAAGGAGCCCGCCGAGCGGCCACGUGGCGUUGCUGUCCUGUCCGCUCGGCCCCUCUCCUGUAACGGUCACUUGCGCUCGGGAACCCUCCUCCCGGCAAGGAACUUCCCGGGAAGCGCCCAGGAGAGAAUUCCCUUGCUGCCCUCCAGGGCAAUCCCCGCAGCCUCGCUAGUCCUUCCGGGCUGGUGACUUGCCGGGCAGCUCGCGCAAUGCUUCCCGGGGCGCGAUCCUUCGGGGGAGCAAGCGAGGUGGCCCACGCGUCAAGCAGCAGUGGUACCCCGGGUGCCACUGGUGCGACAACUACUUGUCCCUCUAAGGGCUAGGCUACUUGGGUGAAUGCUGAACGGAAUAGAGCCGAUUCCUACCGAGGUCCAACCGAGCUGAACCGAACCGAAAUCGAACCCUUUGACCGGAGGCAUUCCUUUUAUAAACAAGAGGAUACCACAGGUGCCUACGCAUGCAGCGUGACACGUUGCCCAGAUGCGUGUCACAACUGCAUGGAAUACAAUUUUACUCAUCCACGCUGGACACCAUGAACCGCCCGGUCUACUGUACACGGUAGAAAUCGUAGGGUAGUCGCUCUAGCCUUGCUAAGCAAGACUAGGCCUGCUGAUAAGACUUCACUGUUCUGUCGGUGCAUUAAAUGCACUGCGCCCGCCGUCUUGUCCUAUCUCCACUGUUCUGCGGGUCCCGCCUGCAUGCCCGAGCGUGGGUUGCGGGGGUGCACCCUCCCGGCUACCGCACCAGCUAGUUUUGCCGGGAGGCUUUCCUUCGGCUUCCCGGGACCGCGGUUCCCGGGAGCGUCUUGCACUCAGCCCUUAGCUUUAGCUUCGCUAGGGGUCGUCUCCUCGAGGCAGGCUUCCCGGGCUCGUCGUUUCCCAGGAGUCCUUCCUGAUGGGGCUUCGUCACUGGCGACCCACGCGUCCCGUAUCAGUGGGACCCCGUGGGCCACUGGUACGACAGUAGCCCCCGGGCGUGGGCCGGCCGCCUUGAAGCUUCCAGCGAGUGCUAUCCUCGGUUGGUUACCGGGCUACGCCCUACCCGACGCGUGUGUCCCAAGGGGGAAACCCCCUAGCACCCGACCUCGUGGGCCGCAUUUAUAGUUCCACUUCUCCGAGCGAAAUGGUCGGGCGCACGAUUUCGUGCCUUAUCUCCCUUAAUCACUAGAGAGUUAAGGCCACGUCGCGCACCCCCCCUCUUAAUCCCUGAUUCAUUAGGGCUCUUUAGUGCCAAUCAUGGGGGCGUCUGUUGCAGUCCGCCAGCCCUGAUAAAUACCCAAGGCCGGCGGCGGAGCACUCCCCAUUGUCUCUCGCUCUUGCCACCAUCUCCUCCCAAGCUCCCGACUCCCCAAUUCCAACUCAACCACCUCUCCUCCUCCACCGAUGUCUUCCAAGGGCCAGAACCGUCCCAAGGGGAGCACCAGCAAAGGUGAUAAGGCCGACAAAAAGGAACUGUCAGAUAGAGCCCGGAAGGAGGAGGAAAUGCGGGCUAAAUUCGCUUUCUUCCCCCCGGGUACAACGACGAGGGGGUCGACAAGCUGGUCUUGGCGCUGGCCACCAAGCACAAUGAGCACGGGCCGACGCGGGACCUUCCCGCCAGAGCGGAGCGCGACGGGCACUACUUCCGGAUCUUCAGGAGGUUCAUCCUUGCCGGGUUCGUCCCGCCACACUCCUACUUUCUCUCAGCCAUCAUGGAGUCCUACGGGCUCCUCAUGGCGCAACUUCACCCCACGUCGUUCUUCACAUUGGCCGUUUUCCAACACCUCUAUGAAGCGUUCGUGGGGGUGAUGCCGUCGGUGGCGCUAUUCCGCCACUACUACUACCUGAGGGUGGAGAAGAAGGCUCCCCUGUCCUCGGGGGUAAUGUUCCGAUUCCGCGACAGGAUCAGAUCGGAAUUCAUCGAGCUGGGGAAGAAGAAGAUCGAGCACCAAUGGCGUCGCGACUGGUGCUGGGUGCGCAGCGACGAGCUCCAGGAGUUCCACGAAGGGCUCUGACGACUGGACACUCCGCGACCCGAAGGACGAGGAGCUAGCCCCGAUCAGUGCAAAGAUCAAGGCACUCUGCGAGGCCAGGCUCACGGACAUGGAUGUGGCGCGCCACAUCAUCGGGAGGCACGUGGCCCCCCUGCAGCGGCGCUCGCAUCCGGCUGCAACGCACGGACCUCCUCCCGGAGGAAGUGCAGUUCUGGGUGAAGGGUAUCACCGGCGAGGACGAGCCCUACCGGCUGCUUCCGCCUAGAGCGCAUUCGCUCCACGCCGGGAUCCCGAACCCGGGAGCCCAGGAUCUCCCACUCUGCAACGAGUGGGGGAUCAUGGUGGACCCCUCGGCGCAACCCUCACCCCCACAGCCCUGGCCCCAGAAGGGCAAGGGGCCGGCUGCCGACUUGGGGAAAGGGGGCCCAGGCCAGGCCUCCGCCAAGACAGAGGGCUCGGACUCCGACGAUUCCUCGUUGGGCAUCGGAGGGGACCUCAGCGACGACAACGGCGAUGACGACGUUCCCCCAUCAGCCGGCGAAGUCGUGCCAGAGGAGGACAACGAGGAAGAUGACGUCCCCCGGGUGAGGCGGUCCGCGGCGGAACGGGCGGGCAGGCGGGAGGCCAGCCCGCAGCUCCAGGGGCCUCAAGGCGACACGGGGGCAGGGGUCUCCGGUGGCAGCGGCGUGGCUACAUCAGCCGCCCCGACCACCCCGACAACUCCCAGAGCUCUCUCCACGCGAAGCGGCCCUUCGGCGAGGAGCAUCCUGUCGGACAGGGUGCUCAAGCUCAAGCCGACAGGGUAAGUCCAAUGUCGUUCUGAGCAACUUUGAUUUCACGAAAUUAUUUUGUGCCUGACUAAUUCAUUUUCGCGUUUUCCAGUUUCUCGAGAAAGAGGGGGCAGACCAGCGUGUCGCCGGCAGCCCCAACCAAGAAGCCUCGCCCAGCCUCGGGCGGCGGCGACCAAGACGCUGCCGGCGCAGCAGUUGCGAGGGCGGCAACGGUCGUGGGGGACCCAAGGAUCCUCGACUCGAGCUCGCAGGGCACCGGCCCAGCGGCAGGUAUGCGCAAGUUCGAACACUUCCCUUAUUAUUCGCGCCAAUCCCCUCGCUUGACGCAGGAGCCGUUCGUGCAGUUGCCGGAGGGGUUCCGGCUCGCCCACGCCUAGAGAGGUGCGGGUCAUCGACCUCACUGGCGAGGUCGAUGACGAUGCUCAGACAGAGGUUGCCUCCGUCGGAGCCCUUCAACAAUCUGUCACGGCGCCUGCCGGGGCCGCGACUGCCGCCACCGAUGACGCCACGCAAGGGGCGCCAUCCGAGGCGGGAGGCGCAGAGUAGCCUCCGCCAGCCGGGGCGGGCGGUGGUGCCCUGGAGAAGCUCCCGAGCCCCCAGCUCGCCCCUUCGGACGAGCAGGGAGCAGCGGGGCUCGACCAUGCCGGCGGCGCGCCAUCAAAUCCCGAUGCGCCCUCGGGGUCGCAGACGGUUGCGGCGGGGUCCUCCUCCUCCGUCGGAGCCGCCUUCAGCCUCGGAGCAAGGGAGCUUGCCGGGCGGACUUGGGGUCGGAUCACCUUCGACCCCAUCGUGUUCCAACAGGGAUACCAAGUGAUCGACAACAUCCAGCAGCAGCAGAUCUUCGUCGAUUUUUUCAACGACGCGCGGCAACACCACGCCCGCGUAGGGGCGGAACUGGGCGCAGUGCGACGGGAGGCGGAGGAGCAGUGCACCGAGCUGCAGCGGCUCCGGGAGGAGCUCCAACAGGCACGGCAGGCCGGGGCAACGCCUGCGGUGCAAGGGGUGCUGGAGGCACAGGUCCUCCAGCAGCUGUGGGACCUCCAGCAAGAGCACCAGCGGGAGCUCGAGCUGGUGAAGGCCACACACACCAAGAGCGAGGAGGAGCAUCAGGCGGCUCUGGACUCGUUCCAAGGGCGUCUCCGGGAGAAGACGGACCUACUAUCCGGCUACUCCCUGGAGAUCCAGCGCCUCCGCCACGAGGUCAGAGAGCUGGGUGCGGCGGCCGCAACAGCAGCCGAAGCCUCGGCGCGCCGGGAAAAGGAGCUGCAAGACCAGGCCCGCUCCCGGGAGCGCGAGCUUGGGGGGCAGCUCAAAGCUGCCCAAGAUGCCAGCUCGUCCCUUCAGGGCGAGCUCGACAUGGCGCGGCAGGAACUCUGGCGGAUCGACGACGACAACACCAAGAAGGCGUCGGAGAUCGGUCGGCUAAAAUCUGAGUGCCGCGAGCACAAGCGGCAGGCCCAGGAGGCUCGCGGUGCGUGCACAGAGCUGUGGGCACGCAGGACAGGGGAGGUGGUCAGGCUGAAGAAGCUGGCCGACUCGGCGAGGGAGGCACUGCAGGGGUUCGACAUCCCUGUGGCUUCCUUCGAUGGGGCAGACAUGGGGAGCAUCACUUCGUUCUUUGCAGACUUCGUCGGCCGGCUGAGCGGCCUACAGAGCUGCGUCACGGCCUUCGGGGACCGGCAAGUCGGCCUUGCGGCCGAGCAGGUCGCCGGGCAGAUUCUCACCCGAGUCCACUCCGCCCACCCUGACUUCUCGUUCGAGUCGGUCUUCGACGCCUGGUCAAACGAGGAAGAGGCCAAGACACACCGGGAGGCGGUGCAGGGCGUCGUGGACGAGAUGGUGGCGCGAAUGCAGGGCAAGGUCGACGAUGACGAAGCCACUACUGAGGAGGUUGCCGGAGAAGCCCCCGAUGCUGAGGAUGCCCCUGAUACCGAAGCAGCCGCCCCGGGAGCACCUCCCGCAGAGUUCCCUUCCUUCUCUUUUUUCUUAUUUCCCUACAAGUGGCGCAUGGCGCCUUAGAACUUUUUAUGUUAGCUUUCCCUUGUCCUUAUCAGUGUUUCUCGUCAACUUGUUUUGCCCAAGCUUUAAUAUAUAUCCAAUGCUAUUUUCACUUGCUCCUUUGCCUAAAACUAUCUUGCUGGGGAGGGGCUCUGUCCUUCUUGUGUUUUAGCCUUGCGUACCCGGGGACUCAAAUAGCAGCGGCUAGUCACUCCGCCUGCGGGUUUACUACCCUAGCGCGCACGCCUCCGGGACGGACCCGCGAGCCACGUGUGGGGGGCCGUCCUCACCCCGCAAGCGUCCUUCCUACGCUCCGGCUACACGAGGACCGAGCUAACCCCAGCAAACUAGUGUUACUAAGGGGAAAAACCAAGGACCCAAAAUGAGAUACUUAGCUUCCCAUUUCUUUUUGGAUUUGUUGCACCUUGUUUAGAGCCGUGGCAAGGCCGUGGUGGUAGUGCACCCUCCAGCAGCACCCUUGGGGCUGCGGAGGCAUGCACCACCACCGCGUCUUUACGAUGCCUCUCGCUUGUCUCAUCGCCACUUCUGGUGUCGCUCCAUAAGAGAUGUGUCAGGGCCGCGAUGGUGGGAACACCCUUAGCGGCAAGCGUAGAGGGAUGCACCACCAUCGUCUCUCUGCGACAUCUCUUGUUUUCUUGCCCAUUGUUGGUGUUGCACUUGCCCUGGUCUCCUUAAAUAGCCAAAGCGCUGCUCUUGCCUCCACACGCCCGGGACCACCAGUCGCUGCGUGGAGGCACUGGCCCUGUCUCAGUUUCCUGCAUCAAGCCUCGAAGUGAUUGCCAUAUAUGUACAACUUACUCGCAAGACGACGACACCCGUGACCACUCCACGAGCAUCACAGUGUGCCUUCGCCUUAUCUCUAUCCUGCAUGUCAGAUUCCUGCAGUGCCCAAGGUACAUAGCAAAAAAAAACCGAAAUGUAUGAAAAACAGUAUAAACUUGAUAACCUCCUGCCUCCCAGCCCCCGGGCACAGAAGAGUCGACCUCAGACCUGGGUGUGAGCAUCUUUACAUUUCCAUGGUGCCUCGCUGGCACGUAACACGUUGCGGACAGGUCCGGCAAUUGCUAGGCCUCAUUCCAGGGGCGUCCCAGCAACGAGCUUUGUUUUCGGGGUUCCGGCAACCCCCUGCUCACAGCCAAGGAUGAGGGGACAAUUCUGUGCACUUAGAGCAGCAGACAGAAGCAUUCACAGACAGCAAAGCAAAACAUUUACCAAUGUAACACUUAUCUUUAAGCUACACUAGCUUAAAGAGGCACGCUGCCGCAGCGUCACCCGUGGAUAAGGCACCAUCGUUUCACGGAUAGAACUUGCGUAGGUGCUCAAUGUUCCAACUAUUGGGCACCGGCAAGCCUUCUUCGGUUUCCAGCCGGACAGCCCGCGGUCUGGUCACCUGCACUACUCGGAAAGGGCCUUCCCAGAUUGGAGUCAACUUGAUCCCGGCUUUCGUUCCUUGUAUCCGACGCAGGACGAGGUCUCCAACCUCGAGCCCCCGGGGACGGACUCUUCUGUCGUGAUAACGACGGAGUCCCUGCUGGUAGCUUGCAGCUCGUACAGCAGCCCGGCAUCGAAUCUCCUUGAUGAAGGUAAGGUCAUCAAUCCUCUGCGUGUGUUAGCUCUUGUCGCUGUACGUGCGUACCCGAGGUGACCCAUACUUGAGCUCGAGGGGCGGCACAGCUUCUGCCCCGUAGACGAGGGUAAACGGAGUUUGACCCGUCGCCCGACUCGGUGUGGUCCGCAGUGACCACAGCACGGGUUGGAGUUCUUCAACCCAGUGUUUCCCGUGGCCUUUGAGCUCGUCAAAGGUUCUCGUCUUGAGCCCCCGCAGCACUUCCGUGUUGGCUCAUUCCACUUGCCCGUUGCUCCUCGGAUGUCCUCGCAGUAAGCUUGGAACACCGCACUAGUGAAUUGCAUGCCGUUGUCGGUGAUGAUGCCGUGAGGCACACCAAACCGGCACACAAUGCCUUUGAAAAACUUGAUGGCCACCUGCGCCGUGACGGUUCGGACAGGCUCCACCUCGAUCCAUUUCGAGAACUUGUCGAUGGCCACAAGCAGGUACUCGUAGCCGCCAACUGCUCUCGGUAGUUUGCUGACGAUGUCCAGCCCCCAGACCGCGAACGGCCACGAGGACGGGAUGACUUGCAGGACUUGCGCUGGUUGGUUGCUCUUCUUGGCGUGAAACUGGCAUGCUUCACAGGUCUUGACUAAUUGCUCGGCAUCGGCUAGUGCUGUCGACCAGUAGAAGCCGUGCCGGAACGCUUUCCUAGCUAGUGCCCUGGAGGCCACAUGGUGCAAGCAUGUGCCUCGAUGUAUAUCUUCCAGCAAUGCGCGCCCUUCCUCCUAGGGCACGCUGAGGAGCAUGACUCCGUUAGGACGCCUCCGAUAGAGUUCUCCGUCCACCGGGGCGUACACUUUAACUUGCUGGGCUACUCGCUCCGCGGCAACGUCUUCCUCCGGGAGGGUCCCGUCCCUUAGGUAGCGAAUAAUAUCCGUCCCCGAAGGUGGUGGCUCCCGGCUAGUAUAUGCCACCAACUUGGUGGCAUAGUCCCCUACAGCUGUAGGGUCACCUUGAGUCGCCGGAGGGGAUUCCCUUCAACUGCCUUGGGGUUGAUAGAGGGCUUCAACUACCUCUGCACGAACACCCCAGGAGGCACGUUCCGCUGCCCACUUGGACAGUUCAUCCGCAACAAAGUUGUCCUUGUGCUUUACGUGCUCAAAUCGAAGUCCUUUGAACUUGGACUCCAAUUUUCGCACUUCCUCCACGUACGCUACCAUCUGGUGGCAGUCGUAGUCCUUGUUUACCUGGUUGAUCACGAGUUGGGAGUCCCCACGAACAACCAGGCGCUUGAUAUCAAGGGCGAUCUCCGCACGUAGGCCGACAAGCAGUCCCUCGUACUCCGUUGUGUUGUUGGUGGAGUUGGCGAAAUCGAGAUGUAUCACGAACUUGAGAUGGUCUCCGGUGGGCGACUCGAUCACCACUCCGGCACCGGCGCCCUGCAAGCAGAAGGCGCCGUCGAAGUACAUGACCCAGUACCCUUCGUCCAAUGUGCCGGAAAGGCUCGCUUCCCGCUAAGGAAGGGAGCAAGGAGGGGGAGUAGACCAGGCUGGCUGGAGCAAAUGGGCUUUGGCCCAGAGGGUGGAUUUGGACUUUUCUAGCGCUUUUGAAAUCAAACAAAACACAAAAAUUCAAAUAUGGUUUUAUAAAUACCAUAUGAACUCCAAAUAAUUCUAGUAAAUCAAAAUAAUCAUUGUGGGCUUAGGGAAAUAUAGUUUACACCCAAAAUGUUCCUCCAUAAAUAUAUUAUUAUGCUAAAUUAGGUUUUGAAUAAACUCCAAGUAAAAUCUCCUAAUAUUUCUAUAGUUCAAUAAAUUCCCAAAUAGAUUUAUAACACCAAAACACACAUUUAGUAAACCAUUGCAAAUGUUCCAACUAUAUAUAUUUGGGAAAUCACGUUAUCCCACUUUCAGCGAUGGAUUAAAUGUUGGAAUAACAUUCGCACAUGACAAUGUCACGUUAUCAUUUUCUCGAAUAUUUGAUAACUUCUUCUCGAAAACUAAAUGAACAGGACAAAAUAAAAUCGAGAAAAAACAUAGUUGAACAUUGAAUAUGUUUCCAACCUUAUAAUCAGGAAAGUCAUAUUAUUCCCUCUCUUUAAUAUUUAAAUAAAUGUUGGAAAGCAUUUUUAAUCAAUUCAAAUAUUCCAAAGAUGCUCUCAAAUGGUCAUGGCAUCCAAAUUGGAUACUUGGGAUGUUAAUAAAUCCUUCAAAAAUAAAAUAGUAUUUAUUAAGAUGCAAAGAUUAAUCCUAAUAAAAUCAUAGGAUGCAAUGGUUCCAAAUAAAAUACUUUGAACUUACAUAAAUGUCCCAACCAUGUUGUAUAAUUUGGAUAGUCAUAUUAAUCUACUCGUUUGUUGAAUAUUCAAACAUGGUGUGAAAUUUUUUAAAUAAGUCCUAAAAAUUUGAAAUCCUUCAAAAUUUUCUCAACCAAAAUAUCUCCAAAGCAAAUAUUUUAUUUACCAUUCCAAAAUUGGAAAAUUUUGGGAUGUUACAUGCCUUGUCCAGGAGAGAUACACUUGAUGAACAGGUUUCCUCUUGCCAUGCUAUUUCUGCAGCAAUUCCAGACUGGCUGAAGGAAGUGGAACAAUCUUAUGUGGGGGAUAACAAGUGCACAAAAUUGCUUCAGCAAUGGACUGUUCAGCCUAACAGUAAGCCAAAUUAUACAAUGGUAGCUGGCAUUCUGAGAUAUAAAGGCAGAAUCUACAUUGGUUUUUCUACUGAUCUAAGGAACAAAAUUCUCCGCUCUUUUCAUGAUUCCAUCUUUGGGGGGCACUCUGGCAGGACAGUAACAUACCACAGAAUUAAAAAGUUAUUCUACUGGCCCAAAUUAAAACACCAAGUGGAACAGUUCUUGGCUGCCUGCCCUAACUGUCAACUCAACAAAGAGGAACAUGUUCCUUAUCCUGGAUUACUUGAUCCACUUUCCAUCCCUGAAACUCCUUGGUCACACAUCUCUCUUGAUUUUGUGGAUGGCCUACCUAAAUCUAGAGGCAAAGAUGUGAUAUUGGUACUAGUGGAUAGAAGAACAAAGUAUGCUCACUUCUUACCACCGGCUCAUCCAUUUACAGUUCAGCAAGUGGCAGAUCUGUACAUGGACAAUGUUUAUAAACUGCAUGGGCUACCACAAUGCAUUGUGUCUGACAGAGAUAGGAUUUUCACUAGUAAUCUCUGGCAAGAUCUGUUCAAAGCUCUGAAAGUUACACUUAAUCUCAGUUCAUCUUAUCAUCCUCAAAGUGAUGGCCAAACUGAAAGAGUCAACCAAUGCGUGGAGAACUACCUCAGAACAAUGGCUUUUCAAGAACCCAAAAAAUGGUGUGAUUGGCUCCCUGCCGCAGAAUGGUGGUAUAACUCUUCUUAUCGUACCUCCCUGAAGAUGUCACCAUUCCAAGAACUCUAUGGCUACCAUCCUCCUCAGGUCUUUGAACUCUCAAUCCCAUGCAACAUUUCUGAUGAAGCCAAGGUCACAUUGCAAGAAAAGGAAAGAAUUAUUCAAGAGCUGAACAUCAAUCUCUAGCAAGCACAAAAUCGUAUGAAAAAGUUUAAUGACAUGAAGAGAACAGAACGCCAGUUUUCAGUUGGAGACAUGGUCUAUUUGAAGAUGCAGCCAUAUCGCCAAAAUGCUUCUGGUUUGCGUACUACUCUCAAACUGACUUCCAAAUAUUAUGGACCAUUCCGUGUCUUGGAGAAGAUUGGUCCUGUGGCUUACUGAAGCGACCGCCCCGUACAGGGUACGAUCUCUGUGCUUAUAGUGCUAGUCCCUGGAUCGACUCACUAGCACACACAGUUCAAGAUGUAAUAUCGAGAAACAAAAGUCAAGUAAUUUUAUUACAACGUCAUCAUCCAGAACUUACAACUUUGCAUAACCACUCGGGUUAGCAUUUAGAAAUAACAUAAAUUGUUCAACAACGGAAAGCGAAGGAAAAAUUGAGCCAAUUCAACGCCAUAGAGAGCGCAUGUUGGAAUGCAGGCUCGUGACCCAACAACGUAACCUUACUCGUCAUCGGAAUUCCCUGCAACAAUUUAAAGGUUGCAGCCACUAGGGUCAAUGCAUUGAAUGUAUUGGCAAGUUCAUCGGGGAUUAUAUCAGAUCCUAACAAAUAUAUGCAAUUAUUGGCUAUGUGGAGAUCAGGCUUUUUGGCAUGGAAGCAAUUAACAUAUCAUUUUUAUCCUACUACAAUUGAAUUUUAUAGUAUAACAAAUGUAUUGGACAUCGGGUAGACACACCGAUGCUCCUAUUUAAAUCUAAGGACAUUGAGUAGACACAUCAAUGCUCCUAACCCAAGUUUAAACCAUUCAUUUUAUUUAGAAAUUUGAAUGAGUCAGACCUUACUUAGUUUCCAUAUCCAACUGCUCAUGAUUCGUCCAUAACCGGGGACACGGCUAAGUACUUAGUUUUGACAUUCUUGAGAGGUUGUACACAUUCCCCACAAGAAACCGACAGGUUAAUCAUAUCCCUUGCUAUCCUCAGGGUCCACCUACACGAUUACGAGAUUUUCCGAAGUAAUUCCCUAGACCACGAGAGAAUCACGCUCCACCUACACGGCUACAUCAUUAUAAUUCUUCGGGUCUAGGUUCAUACAACAUACUCUAUUCUCGCCAGAGCCCAUAUAGCAUGUGGUUGUACUGGAAGCAAUUAAAUAGGAACCCAAAUUCAGCCUCUGAAAACCCUAGGUGGCAUCCCACAUUUGCGACGCAGGCGCUCCCCGAAUACACGGAAGAGACGACCAUGGACACUCCCGAAUCCACGGAGAGACGACUCAGAGGGCCCCAUAGAGAUGGACCUGACGUCGCGUACAACCAUAAUACUCAAAGCUACCCACCUAGGAUGGUUCAUUAGCAGUUGUUUUUAGCCAUACAUCAAAAAUAACAUUUUUCAUCAACAACAUUUCUAGAGUGAAAGUGGUUCCCUCCCACGCAUAUUUACAUAGCACGGCUAAGCGUAACUACUAACGGUGGAUAUUGGUGGGGAUUUGAUGGCGAGAAAAAUCUAUUCUACUAGGACAAUAUAGCUAGCAUAAAUAUAAUAAUUUAAUCCUAAUGCAAUUCUACAAACAACGCUAAUGCAUAUAGGAUUAAAAAUAAGUGCGAUGAUAGGUGAUUCAUGAUCAAGAUGAACUUGCGUUGUCAAAAGUUAUUGCCGUUCUCACACUUGUCGCAAAGACAGGGUUCGCACUCCAUAAAAUCUAACAAUCGAAACGUAUAGCAAAAAUAAACAACCAUCCGAUAGAUACAAGCAACCGAAUGAAAUAUGUCAUGAUGCUAUGCACAUGAUGAACCUAAAUUUUGUUCCUGUCACAAAUAACUCGUUUAGUGAUUUAAAUCUACGUGGUGAAUUGUUAGGAUCAAGUUCAUGGGGUGUACAACGGAAAUCAUUAAACUAAGCAAGUUUAAUCCAUUUUAAAGCUAGAUUAUACUAACUUCGGUGAUACCAUCAUUUUUUAUACAUAAAAAAAAUUUCUUCUGGUUCCACUGGGUAGAGGGUGCCUCUAAGAAACUUUAAGGGUGGAUAAAUCAUCCAAGAUAAUUAUAAGUCAAAUUUUAAGUGAUUACGUUCAUAGUGGAGCAUUCUGUCACCUGGUCCUGUUUCAGUUGUCCAAAACUGAAAAUAAACUGUGCCAAAAGAUUCUACAUGCCAUGAGGAUUCCAAAAAGGUGCGGAUCAUCAAAUUUGGCCAAACAGUUCAAAAGUUAUGAGUGUUUGAAGUUUCAGGGGUUUUUCUGCAAGUUUACCAUUUAAUUCAUCCGGAAACAAAUUUUACAUUUUAUUACAUUUCCACGUGUCGCGCUGUGAUUCGUCAGUACCGGUUCAUUUAAAUGAUCUAAUCUCGGCCGUUGGCCGAGAUCCAACGGUUCGGGCUCAUCGGGCUCACCUCCGGUGAGGCCUAGGGUUCUGGCAAGUUUCCGGUGGCGGCACGGUUCGGGCAGGGCGGCGGACGGCGUCGGGGGCGGCCUUCGGGCGUCGGGGAAGGCGUCGGCGUGGGCGGCGCGGCGAGGCGGAGACGAUGACGCAGACGGUGCGGCGAGAUGUGGCCGGGGUUGAUGCCUAGGACGACGACGAGCGGCGGCGGCGUCGCGGGAACUCUCGCGAGGACGGGCGGACGGCGUCCCGCUGCUACGGGGCACCAUACACAAAAAGGCUCACGUCAAAACGUGCGUAAGGAGGAGAGGAAGAGGAAAAGGCCGGGCUCUGGGUCUAUUGCUCACCGAUGUGACGACGGCGACCUCGAGAACGGCGGCGGCAGUGGCAACUUCGGUGUGAAAUUGCGGCGGUGUGAGCACGAGGUGGAGUGAGGGUGAGCAGGGGAAAUGGAGAGGGGAGAGCCCUCUUUAUAGUGGCGCGAGGGGGAUCUUAAAGCCGUGCUCUAAAUCGCGCAAUGAACGCGAGGCAUAAAGACGGCACUCGCAAGAUUCGCGGACAGAGCUUGAAGACGACCUGACAGGUGGGUCCCACCUGUCAGUGUCCGUUGGACCAAGGCGGCGGCUGCUGGGCUGGGCUGCGCUGACGGGCUGCUCGGUCUGUUCGCGCGGGCGAGCGCGUGGGGGCCGAGUCGGUUCGGCCCAUUCGGCCGGGCCGGUCUGUUUCCCUUUUUUUUUGUUAUUUUCGUUUCUCUUUUUCUGUUUCUGUUUUUCCUUUAUAACUUUUGAUUUUGAACUCCAAAUGGACUCAAAUAAAUUUCAGAAAAUUUGUAAAAUCAUAUCCUUUAAUGCCAUAGCAUCUGGGACUUGAUUUCCUCCAAAAGAAAAUUAUUAAAAAUAGUUUUGCUUAAAUAAUUGCCUUUAGUGCAACAAUACUUAAAACAAAAUAGUUUUUCAAUUCCAAAAUAAAUUCCAAAAAUUAUGGGGCAGCUUAUCUUAUUGCAUCAAACCCCUUUCUAUUGUUUUCAACCCCAUGGGUUGAUAAAUUCCAAAGAGAUGCAAAGGAAGAUUAGAGAGGUAAAAGCUUAAUAAAAAGAUUUUAAAAUUUAAAUCCUUGAUUUAAAGGUGCUCAAAAUUCAUAUAUGGCAUGAUGUUUAUGAGUGCAAAUGCAUGAUGCAAAGUUUGGAAAAAUUGGGAUGUUACACUUACAAAAACUGCAACUAUCUGAGCAAGCUCAAAUACGUCCAGUAUUCCAUGUGAGUCAACUGAAACAACACCUGGGACCAAGUGUGAUUCCCAACCCCAUUCUGCCCAUGGUCUCAGCGUCUGGCAAAAUAAAAACUGAACCAGCUGCUAUACUCCAACGCAGAAUGAUCCCUCGCAACAAUAUUGCUGUGGUUCAAUGGCUCAUUCAUUGGCAGAACUUGUCGCCUGAAGAAGCUACCUGGGAAGAUGCAACUUUUAUCCAGCGUACCUUUCCCUCAUUUCAGCCUUGAAGUCUGAUUUCAAAGCAGAGAGUAAUGUCAGGAUGCUCUUCUGAAGAUACUGAAUAUCGACACCUUCAGUUGCUAUUGUUGAAUCGGUACCAGGGGAGAAGGCGUAUUCUGCAAACGGCAUGUUCACUUAAAAGUACAUGGGCGUUCGUAGCGCUAAGAUCUUCAUCCAACGGCUGUCUGCAGCUCAGUAACUACCCAGUGUUAAACACUGUUUACCAUCCUUUGCCGUUUCGGUCUAUCUCAGUUUAAAUGCAGUUUAUUUACUGUCUUGUAAGUCAGUUUAUUUCGGUCUGUCUCGGCUUCUAAAACAGCUUCCAGGUCCACAACAGCUCAACCCAAAAAGAACUGGCCCUAGGUGCUUGUGCUUUGUAGUGCAAUUUUGGCUGGAGCUUCUUGUCUCCAGCUAGCCGCAAAUGAGAUGUUUGUUUUAAUUUGUUGGCUUGUUGUUUCUAAAAGCCAAAUAAGCACAAGCUAAAAGAACUCGAUUUCCACCGGCUUUUAGGAGCAGCCCAACCCACAAAAUCCUUCAUAUGAGAAAAGGCUGGUACGAGGCAGCUUUCUGGGUUUUUUAAAAUCCCACAUUUCUUUGCCCCAAAAGAGCACUGUAAUUACAUGAAACAUGCCACCGCGGAUAACGAUUCGCUCGUUCUUUUUCUCCCGUUGUGUAGCCCCUCGCGACCUUCUGCUAUCUCCUCUCCUCCAGUGGCGAUUGGGGAACCUCCACCGCCAGCGCCGCACGCCCGCCCUCCACUGGCACCAAGCGCCCGCAUCUCUCCACUCCUCUCUUCUCCUUCCUCUCGUCUUGCACGCGCAAGGGACCUAGGGUUCCUCACGCACAGAGCCGCCGCCACUAGAAUACGUGGUGCGUCGUCGCUGAAAUCCAUUGGCAUGUCGCCGCCGGCCCGCCAGAAACCAUCUGCCGAUAGUGGGGACUCCGAAUAAGUGCCACUGCUGCCUAAUUGCGGGUCAACGACGUGCUGCUUCGCGAAAUCGUGUGCCGCUGCUGCCCCAACUGUUCGUCGGCCUGCUGUGCUCCCUUGCUGUUUUUGGUGCCUCCCGGAUCGCGAUAGAUGGGAGGAAUCAAUCUCGUGUUAGAAGAGGAAGUAGUUGUGGAUUCUCUUGUAUAGAACUGUGCUUGGGAUCUUCUUCGGUAGCCAAGGAUGAAAACAAUAUUUUGUUUACGGGCAUUAUAGACUUUUCAUUGUCAAACAUAGUGAAUAAGCCCAGUGAGGGAAGCCAAAAAGAACUGGACUAAAAUUUCUCACUCGCUUCUCCUCGUCAUGGUUUUUGUGCGUAGAGAAGCUAAAGGCGUUUCUGGAGAAGCUGAAACUAAAAAGAACUGGCCCCUAUUUUGAUGCUUUUCCUCCUAGCUGGUGACGUGGUUAUGACUAACCUCGUACUCGACUCGAGUAUACCCGUUACGACCCAGUUGGAGGCCCACAAGGAAGCCUACAACGACUCGAGGAGUCUACAUGCCAAAUCUUGUGGCUCAAAAUAAGAAAGAUUAAUUAGAAUAUAUUUUCUUAUUGUAACCGACUUGGACUCUACCUUACACCUGGGUUCCUACAUAUAUAAAGGACCAGGAGGGGGAGCCAAGAGGACACCCCCAACUUAGAUAGUAGUCGCCUAGACGCACUCAUCGACUAUGUGCAUCUAGCCUCUGCGGCACCCCAUUAUAAUCGACUCUGCAAUACAGAUCAGACAAGCAGGACGUAGGGGUAUUACCUCAUCAAGGGCCCUGAAUCUGGGUAAAUCGUGUCCCCUGUGUCCUUGUUAGCCGACGAGUUCGCCAACACAAACUCGAAAUCUUUCCUAAAUACAAGUCCAUCAAUAUGAACAUUGUCGAAACCACCCCUUCGUCAUUGGCGCCGUCUGUGGGAUAGAUGUGUGUUGGAAACACGACCUUGGUGGUUCCAGAUUCCUUAAACCCGUCGUUGACUCAGGCGGAGUCGAUGACCUUCGGGUCCUUCCAUUUUACCGCUCACCCCCAGCCAGCCGUGCGGUAUUCAACGUGCUUGAUGCUGGCGUGGAUCUCGUGUUCGGGGAGUUCCAUCUUCGAGCCGACCGAACCGGCAUCCUUUGACUGCCAGAUCUGACUGCUCCAACUCUGGAGAAGUCACUUCUUCCGUCACCUUCAGGAAAGGUCUCGCCGACAGAUUCGGCGGAACCACUCGACAAAGCAGAGCAAGUCUCCCUCGGGACUCCCUCUGGAGUCGAAACAAAUCCGCCUUGUUGUGCAGAAAGCCCCGUCCCUAGCGACGCUGGCGACUGCCCGGAACAAGAAAGUUGCCAUAGCAGCAGCGAUCUUGCGCCCAAGCGCGCCAUCGCCCAAGUCUUCAUGACAAACCCCAUCACCUCGACUCCUCCAACUGCGGAUACAAUCGUAAACCCGCAAGGUGGACAUUCAGCAGUGGAGAAGUCGUGGGUUCAAGCAGCCCUCGACUCAGGAGUCCUCAUGAAUGACCCAACUCCUGCAGAAUUGAAAUUGUAUGCAAAUUCCUUGGCCAGGAAUCGCUUCAACUUGAUCAAAGAAAAAGAAGAGUUUGUUAAGCAGCAGAAACACGAAGCCGACAAACUUAAGAAGAUAGAAGAGGAACCUCAAGCGUCUGUGAAGGCUCGGCCGGAAUCAUCUGACACUUCGGACAAAAGCGCUCUCCCUCUUCGAAACACUCAUCGCGGGUCCCGUUUCUAUAAACUGCCCGAGAAAGACAGAACCCACGCGGUUCGCGAUUUCUCCUCAAGCUUCCUGUCAGCAGACGACCGCAACGAUGCGACGCUUGGGAUUACUGAAGAGGCACUUCGUGCGGCGAGUACUUAUCUACAGUCAAUCUCACUACCCGACAAUGACCCACGCUGGCGCUUCCGCGAGCAAAUCCUAAAAGGGUUGGCUAAAGCAAGAGCUUGGUGCAUUAAGCAAAACCCAGCGGUUCUACCCAUAAGGAUAGCGAGCCUAAGCGUGAUCGUCGACUGCCCGACUCGGGGCAAAACGAGCACAAACAAAACCCUCGCAGAAGGAGUCAAUCUCCUCGCCGAGUCGUUAGCCGCCCAACCGGCUACAGGUAGAACUCUCCUGAGUCAAACCAUGAAACAUGUGGAGCACCAUGUUUCAGCCGUCGGAUCCGCCGAACCAGGAUGCCAAGAAACUUUAAGCCGCCAGCUGACCUGGUCAAAUAUGAUGGCACGCAGGAGCACAGAAACUGGUUGGGAGGACUACCUCACCGGGAUUCGAUGCCAGGGUGGAACUCGAACCACCGCUAUGCAGUGUCUUCAACUCCAGCUCAGGGGUCCGGCUCGCACCUGGUUGAACAGCUUGCGCGACGGCGAUCUCACUACAUGGGAUGAGCUGGUAUAAGCUUUUACGCGCAAUUUCAAUGCCACAUAUAAGCGACCAGUAUCUCUCGAACAACUUCGAUCGUGCGUUCAGCGCGAGGGAGAGUCUAUCCGCUUCUAUAUCCAGCGAUGGACCAACUCGAAGCACGCCUCCAAAGAAAUCUCAGAUGAAAGCGCUAUAGAUGCAUUCAAACGAGGUCUUUGUCGAGUUGAGCUCAAAGAAGAAUUGGGUUGCGUUCGACCUUCUACCUUCUACCACCAGGUAUCUGAUGGAAAUCGCCAACCGAUGGGCUGAACGCAAGAAUUUUGUGAAAACACGCCCGCCUCGUCCCCGACUGUGCGUGUAAUUUUUUCAGAAAGCCCCCAGCCGCAUGCAUCUCUCUCAACUCCUGAAGUCCCGAUUUCCCCACAGCGACCAAACCUCUCGUAGUAGACGCCGAGAUCAAUCGCCUCAUGGCGGCCGGCCACCACAGCCAGAGAUGACAGAAUCUGAUUGGAUGGAGAUUGAGAGAACCUGCUUGCCCUCCCCUCUCCCGAGUUCAGGAUGCAACAUGGAGUAAAAACUCUGCGCCCCCUGAUCUCCCGAGACUAAUCGCCUUUGCCCUUCUCAGUUUCCCAAAACUCUGCGCCACCUGCAGAUCGUGAGUUCACUUGGACACAUGGGAGUUUUAGAUAACACAACAAAAAUGAAUUCAGUCUUAGCAUACAUCGUACAUGUGUGCUUGUUGUCUAAUAUUUUAAAAUCAUGUGACUGUGCAGGUAGAGGAUCAGCUGGUAGCUUGCAGCCUCAGAUGAAAGAGGGAGAAUUUAGUACGCCCAUGCAUAAAGAAACUAAGCAUUCCUCUAUUUGUAAGUUUAAUAGUCCUUCACUGCCAUUGUGAUAUUCAUUUUAACAGAAUUAUGCAUAAAUGUGUUUACCAUGAUUGAUUAUUUAUGUUUCAAUGUUCGUCUUUUACACUCAAUUGAAGGGCUGGAGGCUGUGGAGGAGUUCAACAAGUCUUAUGAUGGCUGAAGAUCAUGUGGGUUUUGGAGUAUGUAUCAGACAACAGAAGAAGUUGGGCAAUGCGGUAGUUCGUACAAAGCGCUUCAUGUGCAAUAGGGAAGGAUUCAAAGCCGAAACAGGUGAAGAGACUGAAGACCCUUAAAGAGAAGGCAUAAGAAUACAACCACAGAGACAUGCAGCAGAAUGGUGUUUUAUGACUUCAUACACCUAUGAUUUAUUAGUACCAUUUCAGUUUCAGGGAUUAAUACCAGAAAAAUUUAUGUACUGACUUUUUGUAAUAAGUGAGAACUUGUGAUUUUGUCAAAUUGAUUUCAUAUUUUUGUCUGUUAGUUGACGCAUAUGGAAUGGAAAGAAACAGACCAUGAUGCUUCUUCAUGGUCAGAAAUAUAGCAAUUUUUUGUGAGUCUGUGAGCUCAACAUUUUGCUCUAUUGCAUCUCAUCGAUUUAUCAGUUAUUUGGGCUGUUAGCUGCUAGCAGCAGCAGAGCAUCAUGCUUCUCCUUUUUUUUUUAAAUAUAGACAGCCUUUUAUUCUUUGAACUAUUUGUUACAUCAGGAGCUCAGAUUCACAACAGAGCCUCAUACAAUGAUACAUAUCUAGCAACCUGGUUAGCUGAUCUAACUAACACCGUCCAUUAACAAUUCAAAAGAAAUACACUCAAAGCGAGCUGAUUUGAUGUCUUCGCUGCAUGAUGACCUGACCAAGUUCAGACAAUCUGAUGCUAUGGCCACCUUCUUCUAUUUUUUCUGAAUGUAUCGCCGUACCAAAUUGCAGCAUGUAUCGCCAAGGAACACCUAAGAUUACAGAACCACAUUAGCCUCAACAAUUGCAUUCACCGAAAAGAAACAAAGUUACUAUUGUUUCUGAAACUUUCACUCACGAGCAGUACACCAGCUAGUGAAUGUAUAGUAGCAGAAGCUGCAUGUAUCAGGUGCAAAAAUUCACCACCAGCAAGUCGGACUAGUAAAUUAAAUUGCAACAUGUAUCAGUCAAGUAACACCUUACAACACAACUUCACAUCCAGACAUUCAGUUCCUUCAGAAAAAGUUUACUCACCAACACAUGUUAGUCGCGUCUGAAACAAUUCACAGUAGAAAGAGCAAGAACUAGCUAUGUUAAAUAAGAAUAGUUGUGGCCCUAGCAGCAGAGCGAGGGAGGUCGCCGUCGCCCUCAGGAUGUGGUCGCCCGCGGCGCCGGCCGCUUACGUAGGUCCGGUCAAAGGCUGAUGGCGGAUUGGCGGGGCGAGGUGGAGCUUGCCAUCGCCGGAAUCCAAUGAUAGCCAAAUCCUGAGAUUGUUGGGCUUGUUGGAAAUCCGGUGAUUGUUGGGUCGUUUGAAUCGGGGCAACGGGGGUAUCACCAUGGUCGAAUCGUCGGUGGGGAAUUUGGGGGAGACAGGAGGCAGGAGUGCAGGCAAGAAGAAUUUUGCUGGGGCCUGGGGGCGUUCCUGAAAAUUUACCACUACUAGGCGUCUAGGCUGGACGAGGCGGGGCGUGUUUUCGCAAAUUUCCCCGCGAGGCGUUGGAGUCGCACGAUUUUGAUCGGAAUGGAUGCAGGGAUGCAUUUAGACCAAGGAUUCACACAAUACGAGCCACUCAUUUUAUACGUAUCACGAUCUUUUUAGUAUGCUUGAUUGGUCAAGAUAAUUGUAUUUUUCAAAAAUAAUAUUUUAACAUAUUUUUUAUUUAUCAAAAAUUUAAAAAUAUGAACGAUGCAUAUUUAAACGACUCAUGCAUAACACAAUUAUCAACUUCGUAGCAGAGCACGGACAUUUAGCUAGCUAGUUCAAAUAACAUCCGAGCCUAAGCCUUCUCUCUCACUUGUUUAUUCUACGCCACGUCAUUUAUUCUACGCCACGUCAUCAGCAGGGGCGGAGCCAGGCCUGGUGCUACCUAUGCUGUAGCACCGGCCUGGCAAGGAUGCUCACAAGAGGAUUCAUCAAGUAUUUAGUUGUAAAAUCCAUAAAUAUAGCACCGUUAGUCUGUCUUAGCAUCCUUGUCCGGUUUCUGGCUCCGCCGCUGGUCAUCAGGCCGUUGUUCGGCCCGAACUGGGGGCGCGUCAACCUGUGGGCGUGUUGCCCUUGCCCUGUUUUGCUUGCCGAAACUUCCGCCUUGGCCAAAACAGCUGCUGCGUAACCACGGGAGCGGGGAGCCGCGUUCUUCUUCUCCCGGCGCACUGAUCCGAAGGGCGUCGUCUCCUGCAAAAGUGAAAACCACGGCGCCGGCGGCCGCUCCCAAAUCCAGGACGCCCACAGACAGCGAGACAGCAGCCUGGUACAGAGUCGUCAUCUUUAAAGCAAAGCAGUCUCCUCUUCUUGACCUCUCGCCCAGCCCAUUCCCACCCGUCGCCGAUCGCACUCGCAACCAGUAGCUGAAUCCGGGUCCUGGGAACCUAGCUAGCUCUCUCCAAUUGUACCUACAUCCACAUGGCAUCUGCCGACGCCGCAGCCGGGCGCCGUCGCUGCAUCGUGGUGGCCGUGGACGAGAGCGAGGAGAGCAUGCACGCGCUCUCCUGGUGCCUCGCCAACGUCGUCAGUACCCAAGACACGCUCGUGCUCCUCCACGCCCGGCGCCCGCAGCCCGUGUACGCCGCCAUGGACAGCGCAGGUACGUACGCGCAUAUAUACAUGGUAUCCAGAUGGUUGACGAGUGUUGUUGUAGUCAGAGGAAAUGGACUACGGACGAUGCGCAUGUUGUAAGCAGGGUAUAUGAUGACUUCGAACGUGCUGGCGAGCAUGGAGACGCACGCCAACGCCGUGUCGGCGGCAGCGGUGGACAAGGCCAAGCACAUCUGCGCCACCACGCUCCCAAAUGUAGGAAUUAUUAGUUUGCUGAUCCAAUAUAAAGUAACUGAUUGAUUUUCAUGCGUGCUCGGUCCAGAAUUGUUCAUGUACUGAUGUACCAGUUUGGUUUGAUCAUCGGUCGGUGUGUACCGGCGCAAUUCUGAUGUAUGUGCAGAUGAAGGUGGAGACGGUGGUGGAGGGCGGGGACCCGCGGAAUGUAAUCUGCGACGCGACUGACAAGAUGAGCACGGAUCUGCUGGUCAUGGGCAGCCAUGGAUAUGGCCUCAUCCAGAGGUAUAUAUACCACUCACUAAUCGCUUUAUUUCUCAAUUGGUUUCCCGUUGCAUCAAUCUCUGUUUUUUUUUUCUGUUUUUUCUCUUUAUUACUGUCCUAAAUAGCUGAAACUCCCUUCCAGAUGUUCUCAGCUGAAUAUAGCAUCGAUCAUUCAUUGUUUUUCUUAGCCAAUUAACUGAAUUUUCCAGAUAACUCAUUACCUAGUUUUAUCCUUAGCAUUGUACUUGCACUCUGCUUCAAUUUUCGUGACCAUUCUCAUGUGGGUGUAAAUCGCAGGGCAUUCCUUGGCAGCGUAAGCAAUCACUGUGCACAGAACUGCAAAUGUCCAGUGCUAAUUGUCAAGAGGCCUAAGGAGUAACCCUAGCUCCAAUACUAGCUAGAGCUGAAUUAAUCAGUGCCGAACUAGUCGAUCGGGUUGAACGGUACAAGGAAGAACCUGUUUCCGCGCAGACAUUUAAUCUAGGCCGUCAAAAUCUUUGAGAUCUGUACUGUUUUCAGAUGUUUUUUUUUUCUUUGAGACCUGUCCUGUUUCAGAUGUUUAUUUUAGUAUGUCUCUCUUCCGGAAAUUCCAAACAGAGCUCGGGCGACAGGUAGCUCGCUUUCCCUGUUGUCCACCUUCUCGUGCUACCUCCGUUCCUUCUAUUACAUGUGGCUGCACGUUUUUUAAGCAUAUAUACAUUCAUAUUUAGACGAAUUUGAGUCACUUAAUAUGAGACGGAGAGAGUAUGUAUUUAUCCCGUAUUUCUCAAUUCCAACAGUUACCUGGCCCAGGUCCCAUUUUGAAUUUUGUCAGUCUGUCCCUAUUCUUCGCAGCUUCCAAUCUGGGCCAAAUUAAGGUUCCCGUUUUUUAUUUUAUUUUUACUGGAUUUGGUCCAUACGCUUAGGUCUAGAUUCUGAGCCUAAGUAGAAACAUGUGCCAAACUGGUGAUGUUUUUUGUGCUAGAUUCUCAAUGAAAUUUUGUGUUUUUCCUAACAAUAAUAUAACUCUCAUAAUUUCAAAAUUGCAGCCCAAAGUUAACGAAUUGAUUUUUUUGGUUUCUCCCAAAAAUAUGUUGUUGGACCAUUUCGAAAUUUCUGGAUUUGGCCCAGGAUUUGGUUAUACAAACUUGGACCUAUUCAAAUGUUCACAUUUUGGCACAUGAGAACAAAAGUAGAUCGAUCCAGAUUUGCAACUUUGCAUGGACUAAGACAUGUCCCAUGGCACAUGCUAGUUCGGCGGGAGCAAUUUUUUUUUGUUUAUCUCAAAAUUUAUGGACGAACCAUUUGCAUUAAAAAUGACCUCAAAAUUUGCAUGGACGAAACAAUUAUUUUUACUUGUCAGUUCAACAAUCUUCACGGACGAACCACUGCAUCAUGAAGAAAAGGAUUUUGGACAAAGUAUUCACGGAACUAGUCCUGAUUUUUUACCCUAUUGUAUACCUCAUGUUUUUUUUUAUGUGAUACUAUAUACAUCAUGCCCUCUCUAGGGGUUCAUUUGGUUGCGUGGACAGGGGUGGAUGGGACAAAGAUAGCCAUUUUUUUAGGGAUAUCCUGUGUUUGGUUGGAAGGAUAGGAUGGUUGGUAGCAUGCAUGUAUGGGUUCGGAUAUUCCCAGCUCGCACCGGUUUGCGGUUGUUUUGUAGCCUGCAUGGAGACUUAGGGCAUGCUCAACCUAGCAAAGGUCUCUCCAACAUGCCUGAGAGGGGACCUCAAAUUGAGCUUCGCUGCUCUACGUGCGUAGUUCGACCCGAAAAACUUCUCAAUCCCCACAUGCCCCCUUGACCAAGCUAGGGUUACCUCCCCUCACCUCCUUCCUCCUAUCAAGAUGUCUUUCUCCUCCCAAUCCUUUCCUCAAUCCCUUCCUAUGGUCCUCUGCACCUCGAACUUCUCUCUGCUAGGUCUUCUCUGCAGUUGUCCCGUCACCGCACUAGUCAAAAUCCAUGGCCGCCGAGUCAGCCGGCAAGGUCUGCCGCUGUCAACUGAGCUGUGCAGCAUUUUGCGCCCCGCCUCCAAGCCGGUUGACAAGAUCCACCGCCGCUUCGUGGGCCGACAAGGUCCGCUACCACCAGCCCGAGUGGUGCGGCACCAUGCUGGUUUAGCUAACAAAUUUUUUCUUGUUUUUUUGCAUAUCUUUUGAAAGUUUAAAACAAGUUUAGCGCAAAACAUUUCAACAGUCACAAACUAAGCCUUAGUUAAACUAAUAAAAGAACAUGAUUCAAAUUUGAACGCCUUCACUCCUACAUGCGCAACUGGUUAAUGCUGAACAGUUUCUAGGGAAAAAAAACUUAAACAUAUUUUUUACUCGUUUGGAGCACAUAAUCUUUUUCCUGAAACCAUGUGAAAUCCCUAUGAAAUAAAAUCCUGCGUUACAAAUAUACGUUUGUUUCAUUGCUCUGACCCUGCUGAGGCUGAAUCGUGUGCGUGCAUGGAGGGAGGCCAUGCAGUGGUGUCAACUCCGUGUUAGCCAUAUUCUAGCGAACAUUGCUAGGAAGGAGCAACUCACCUUUGUUUGCCUGGGCUUUUGGUUCAUUAGCUGCGAUGGAUGCGGUUCUCUGAGAUUGUAUUGCUUUGCCAGUUUAAUCUAAAUCCCCGUUUACCUGUAAAAAGACAUACACUCAUUUCCAUUCUAAUGGUUAGGGCUAUUUUAAAUGGCCCAAAGAGUAUGGCCUCGAGUGCAAGCAGAACAUCCUCCAACUGCUCUUCUAGGCACUGGGUGUCUGGGUCUACCACUAGUAAGCUGUAAGAGCAACUCUAGAAGAUACCGAAAACAAGUGAACCGGACUUGUUUUGCAAUUUGACCGAAAUUUUCGUCCCAAACAGAUACCAUAAAGUGGCCUGGCCUGGAAAAAUUAGUUCGGGGUACCAAAUCCGAAUCCCGCCGCCAUCCCCUCCACCACCCCAAAAACCCCUUUCCCAUCCCCUCCGGCGCUUUCUCUUCUUCUUUGGCGAGCCAAUCCAAAUUUGUCGUGCCAAUGUGACGGUAAACCGCUCCGCCGCCACAGGGGCCAGAUGCCUUCCUAGCGUCGACGGGGAAGCCCUAGCAGCGGAGGGCGAGGGCGGCGCGAACGACGACGAGGAACAUGCGUGGGAGUAUACGUGGGCAUGGGUGGCCCGGCCUUGUCCGAAGCCCGAUGUCUCGGACCGGGCUCAGGCUUCACUUUUCAGUCCCAAGCCCGGCCCGAAAGCCCGAAAUGACUAAAAACGGGUAUUCUUUUAAGAAAAAUAGGUAUAAAAAAUCACUUUUUAUUCCGAAAGUAAUUAUUUUAAUGCUAAAUGGUCAUUUCUCGGGCUUCGGGCCGGGCCGAGCCCGGGCUUGAGGUUUUUCCGUCGGGCUUUAUGAAGCCCGGCCCGGGGUUUGCCCAGGUAUACGUGGGAGGAGGCUGGUACCGCAGGGAGCUCAUCCGCCACCGUGCGCACGCCGCUGCUAGAGGAGGCAGAAAGGUCCCGCGUGGCCGGCGAUCUGCUCCUCCUCCUCCUCCUCCUCCGGCAAGGAGGUGUGCUCCAUCGACAACGAGAGCCGCGGGAGGACGACAGCCGACAUCCAACUCGCUUUGGACCGGUCCAUUGAGAAGGCCAAGCCAGAGGUCAUCGUCAUCUCCAACAAUGAGUAGGCGGCAUCGGCGGAGGAGAAGAAGCCGGCGUGGAGGAGCUCAUUUUGUUUUUUGUGAUGCAUUGCUUCUCGGUUUUAGUACUCCCUCCGACCCCAUAUUACAUGUCUCAAAUUUGCCCAAAUAUGGAUGUAUCUUUGUUUAAAAAACGUAUAGGUACAUGUAAUAUUUCAACAAGUAAUUCCGGUCGGAGUAAGUAUUAGUUUUUGUAAAACUUAAAAUUAUGUAUGCAAAAGAUGUUUGUGAUGAAAUAUAUGAUGUUGGUAUGAAAUGUGUGAGGUGUUUGUGUUGUUUAAAAUUCGCACGAAGAUGCACUCCGUAUUUCAAAUCAGUUCGUUUUUGCGGGAUCUAUUCUGCCAUACGCUGGGGCGUACUGAACUUUUGGUACGUGCUAGUGUUGCUCUAAGCUGACCCAGUAUGCAGUGAUUAAUCAAUCUAUUUGUACUCGCAGCAUCACACCUUCGCAGGGGACCGGUCAUUUGAGAGGUUUUUACAGGAUAUUGUAAAGAGCUCCGUCAUUCUCCAUUUUUUUUGUUCCUUUUGAAGUCUGCUUCGUCAAUCUACCAUUCUCCCUUGUCUUAGAGUUAGCUGCCUCUGUCAUUUCCCUGUGCAGAUCGAGAAUGCAUGCUAUCUACUCCGAUUUUCCAUCUUCCCUUGACCAUUAGGUUCUUCCGAUCAAAUUAACACUAUAAAAUUCUCCACUUCUGUGUACUUGGGUGGUGGAAUUGCUUAGUGCGGGAGCACGAGCUCGAUCGACAAUGGAGUUGCCUAGUGCAGCGAUGUUUCAGGAGCUCUUCGUCUUAGCGAUCCUCUACGCCGCUCUCCACUACCUCGCACGGGCCAUUCUGCCGGCCAAACGGGCCGCGGGCCAUGCAUCGCCCCCGCUGCCGCUGCCUCCGGGCCCGCGAGGCUACCCCGUGGUCGGCGCACUGCCGCUGCUGGGCCGCGCCCCGCACCGGGCACUCGCCACGAUGGCGAAGCUGCACGGCCCGAUCAUGCACCUGACCCUCGGCCGGCAAGGCGUCGUGGUGGCGUCCACGCCGGCAGCGGCGCGCCUCUUCCUCAAGGAACACGGCGCCAGCUUCCUGGACCGCCCCACGGGCGACGCAGCGCCGACGCUCUUGGCGUACGGUGCCCAGGACCUCGUGUUCGCGCCCUACGGGCCCAGGUGGCGCCGGCUACGGCGCGAGUGCAGCAUCGGCCUCCUGGGCCCCCAGGCGCUCGUCAACUGGGCCGACACGCGCCGCGAGGAGGUGGGCCACAUGGUCCGGGCCGUGCUGGCCCGGCGCGGCGAGGCCGUGGAGGUUCCCGAGUUCCUGUUCUGCGCCAUGGCCAACAUGAUCGGGCAGGCCGCGGUGGGCCGGCGCGUGCUCGACGACGCGGGCGGCGAGGCCACGAGGGAGUUCAAGGAGAUGGUGGUGGAGCUCAUGACUAGCGCGGGGCUGGUGAACAUCGGCGACUUCGUGCCGGCCGUGGCGUGGAUGGACCUGCAGGGGCUCGUGCGGAAGAUGCGGCGGCUGUGGACGAGGCUGGACCGGGUCUGGGCCCGGCUGCUGUCCGAACACGAGGAAGUCAUGGCUGCCAGGCAGCAAGAGGGGGCCCGCCGGCUGGACCUUGUGGACCGGCUGAUCGCCUGCCGCCGCGAAGCAGGGGAGGAGUACGGCGUCACGGACCUCAACAUCAAAGCUCUCCUCAACGUACGUACUCCACCCAUCCACUUUAAACCAUGGAUACAUUUGUCCAUCGAUUGCAUGUUUCUUUGUUGACUCCUGUGCGUACGUACGUAGAACGUGUUCACGGCGGGGACGGACACGUCGUCCAGCACGAUCGAGUGGGCGCUGGCGGAGAUGCUCCUGAACCCGGCGAUCAUGCGACGGGCGCAGGCCGAGAUGGACGCCUUAAUCGGCCGAGACCGUCUCCUCCGGGACUCCGACACCCCGAACCUCCCCUACCUCCACGCCAUCUGCAAGGAGACCUUCCGCAAGCACCCUUCCACGCCGCUCAACCUGCCGCGGGUCUCCACCGAGGCGUGCAACGUGCAAGGGUACCACAUCCCCAAGGGCACGAGGCUGAUCGUCAACAUAUGGGGGAUCGGGCGGGACCCGGCGGCGUGGCCGGACCCUACGAGGUUCGACCCCGAGAGGUUCAUGACGGAGCAGGGGAAGAAGGUGGAGCCGAUGGGGAGCCACUUCGAGCUCAUACCGUUCGGCGCGGGGCGGCGGAUGUGCGCGGGCGCGCGCAUGGGGGUCACGCUGGUGCACCACAUGCUGGGGGCGCUCGUGCACGCCUUCGACUGGGAGAUGCCGGAGGGCGCGGCAGGGGUUAUGGACAUGGAGGAGGAGUUCGGGCUCGCGCUGCAGAAGAAGGUGCCGGUCAGGGCCGUCGCGCGCCCGCGGCUGGCAGCCAGUGCCUAUGAGUGAACGAUCGAGGCGGCCCCGUGUACGUACGUCGCGGCCCCGUGUGCGUGUUUAUGCACGGUAUUCUAUCUGUGCGCGGUGAUCCAGAUGAGAUGCAUGCCGGUGCUUGAGGCGCCCUUUGAAUAAUCAAUUUCUUUUUCUGACACCGCCCCUAGAAUAAUCAAUCAAUGUAGCGGGUGGUGCUUGUUAUUACGAGACUUAUCUCUUUGAUCAGGAGAAAAAGUGAACUGAACCAUUCGGGUAUUUUCGAUGGGCUCGAUAAUCCAUUCCUCACUGUUUAGGGUUUCUUUGAUUCACAGGAUUGGAAAAUAGAGAAUAGGAAAAUAGAGGAUUGUAAUGUCAUUUUCCUUUUAUCACUAUAGGUUUUGUUUGCACAAAAGAUUUGUUUCAAGAGAUUGGAGCAGACGUAAAUUUUCUAUGAAAUGCAGUACAAAUGAAUACUUGGAAAGAAAUCCUAUAAGAUUCAAUCCUAUGAAUCAAAUUACCAACACAGAAAAAAAAAACCUAACAACCCGUUUGGAUGUUGGUAUUUAAGCUCGGAAUUGGGAAUUGGAAUUAGGGUUCUUCAAUUAUGUUGUUUGGCUGUUCGUGGAAUUCACGGAAUUCCUUGGUAUUCAACUAUAACUAAAACAUGCCUCUAGCAACUCCAAGCCUUACCCAUCUGUAUUGCGGGGAAUUCGUUGUUGCUGUAAAUCGAAGCCUACAAGCAGCCAUGGCCUUGGGAGGCUCCCUGUUGCCCGCAGCCGGCUCGUCGUCAUCCGCCUCCGCCGCCCGCAGCCAGCCUGUUGCCGGCCUCCGUCAGCGCCUCGUCAACGUCCCUCUCUGCCGCCUGCAGCACGCCACCCUGUUGCCAGCCAUCUUCGUGGCCCACAGCUUCCCUGUUGCCUGCCGCUGCCCUGUCAUCGUCCCUCUCCGCCACCUGCAGCUAGCCAUCCUGUUGCCAGCCAUCUUCGCGGCCCCUAGCUUCCCCGUCGCCUGCCGUUGCCGCCGUCCAUCUGAGCCGCAAGUAGCCGCCCCGCCGCGGUAUCUUCACUCCGGGAGUCUGAUGGGUUCAUUGCAAGGAAAACAAAAAAUUUCCUACGAGAAGUGCGGAAGAAACCUAAGAUCAUAUCUGCUAGAUGUAACUAAUGAGAGGGAUUGUGAGCAUCAUACUCUCGUAGACCACAAAGCGUUACGAUCACGGGAUCGUUGUUGGCGUAGUGGAACUUUCGAUGAGAUCAAUCUCAAUGCGGAACCGACGACACCUCCUUGGUAUCCACACAUUCAGCUUCACGUCGUCUCCUCCUUCUUGAUCCAGCAAGCGAGGGGAAGAGGUCGAUGAGAUUCCAGUAGCACGAUGGCGUGGUGGUGGCUAUGGUGGAGAGCUCCGCGGGCAGGACUUCGCUGCGCGAGAGAGGAGGAGGAGAGGGGUUCAGGGAGAGAGAUCUAGCUGAGUGGUUGGUGUGUUCUCUCUCCUUGCCCCUCACCUCUAUUUAUAUAGGGGGUGGUGGCCAGGGUUUGCCCCUCCUCUAAGAAGGAGCUAGAGCCGGACAGGGGAGGGAAAGGAGUCCCGGGAAGGACUUCCUCCCCAUGAACUCCCUCUCCACGUAUGGUGGAGUUGUUCCUUCCCUUUUCCCCUAACGUGCCUAGGCCCAUUAGGGGAUUAAUUACUAUAGAGGUCUAAUUAAAUUCUCAGGAAUAUUCUGAAACAUUCCAGAACCAUUUGAGAACUUCUGGAACCUUCUAGAACAUUCCCGAUCGAUACCGGAAAAUAUCCCAAACUUUUCCAAAACCCUGAAACAGCUUUUCCGUAUAUAAUUAUUUAUCUCCGGACCAUUCCGAAGCUCCUCAUGAUGUCCAGAAUCCCAUCCGAGACCCCGAAUCAUAAUUCGAUAUCACCAUCUUUAAUCUCAUCGAACCCUAGCAACAUUAAGCGUUAAGUGUGUGACCCUACGGGUUCGAGAACAUGUGGACAUGACCGAGACACCUCCCCGAUCAAUAACCAAUAGUGGGACCUGGAUGUCUAUAAUGGUUUCCACAUAUUCCACGAUCUCAUCGGUUGAACCACGAUGUCAAGGAUUCAAUUAAUCCGGUAUCCAAUUUUCUUUGUCUCGUGAUAUAUUACUUGCCCAAGAUUUGAUCGUCAGUAUCACCAUACCUAGUUCAAUCUCGUUAUCGGGAAGUUCUCUUUACUCGUACCGCAUUAUAAUAUCCCAGUGACUAAACACAUUAGUCACAUGCUUGCAAGCUCAUUAGGAUGUUACAUUACCGAGAGGGCCCAGAGAUAUUUCUCUGUCACAUGGAGUGACAAAUCCUACUCUUGAUCCAUACAACCCAACAAGCACCUUCUGAGAUACCUGAAAAACACCUUUAUGAUCACCCAGUUACGAGAUGACGGUUGAUGUCCACAACGUAUUCUUCUGAUACUAGGGAGUGGCAUGAUCUCAUGGUCUAAGGAAAUGAUAUUUGACAUAAUAAAAGCAUUAGCAAUUUAAACUUAAGUGACACGAUCAAAAGCUAUGCUUAGGUUUUGGUCUGUCCAUCAUGUCAUUCUCCUAAUGACAUGGCCUCGUUAAUAAAUGACAACACAUGUCUAUGGUUAGGAAACCUUAACCAUCUUUUAAUCAACGAGCUAAUUUAGUAGGCGUAUUAGGCACACGGUAUUUGUUUAUUCAUCCACACAUGUAUUUAGUUUCGUGUCAAUACAAUUAUAGCAUGGAUAAUAAACAUUUAUCAAGAACAAGGAAAUAUGAUAAUAACAUAUUUAUUAUUUCCUCUGAGGCGUAUUUCCAACAGAGUCCUCCUCCAGCGAGACCACUCCCACACGGUGGUGCUCCCUUGCAGCUAGGCGCUGGUGCUCGGCCCUAAUGUGUUGCGAUCAGGUGAGCAAUUUCAAUGGCUUAAUUCAAUGGGCACCCAAACAGAAUUUUGGAAUCAGUUGUUCUUUCGAUUUCAUUAGCAAUUGUUUUCACAACCAAACAUCAAAAUUGGUAUUGGAACCCAAUUCAACUUGUUGUAGUAAAAUAAAACCCUUAUAUGGGCCGGGCCGUAAAUCCUACGUAGCGACGACUAAGUCAACAUUUCCCAAGCAUGAGUCAAGACGCCCAUGUGGCGCGGUGAAUCCUACGUGGCAAAGAAAGACAAGUCAAAAAGUCAAACCUCUCAUGCCAUGGUCAAAUGGUCAAAUGAAGUAGAAUAGGGGGCAAGAAAGGUGUGAGGAGCGGGCCCUUAGUCCAUGGUGGACCAUGGACCAAGCCCCACUUUUCUCACAUGGUGCAUACAAAAGCUAUGAACCAAGAAACUAGUUUUACCACUUUUCUCUCUCCCCAAAGGUAGCCAUGGUCUUUUGUCAUGGACCCCUAGGUUAUAAAUACCCCCCCCAUUGGGGCAUGUACCACUCACACUCACUUGAAUAAACUCAAGGGGAGAGGGAUAGAGUACUCCCUCUAAGGUUCGCUCUCGCGCGCCGCUCUCGACUGUAAGUCGAUCGGCCUCGAGGAAGCCUUCUAGGGGACUCUAGUUUUGAGGCUCCAAGCUAACCUUGGUUGGCACGGGCUCGAAGGAGAAGGGGUUGGUUAGAGUUUCGAGGGUAUCCUAACCUCGAUACUUGGAAAGACGCGUUCGGUCCAAGUACGAGGCGGCCCCGAUGAAUCUCUCGCUAAAAGGUGUCUUGGGAAGAUCCGCUCGGCCCAAGCCCUUGGCUAACAACCCCUCGAAGCUUUUCCCAACAUAGGAUUAAGUCGCACCCGCAGGGUCGGCCGAACCUAUUCAAAAAAUAUCGACGUGUCAACUUGUCCAAGUGUACGGCGACCUUCGCUAUAAGGCCGGCGUACACGCCCUAUUUUUAUACCCGCACUUGUGCCAUCGAGCAUUGGCACCCCUUACUCUAAUUGUUAUCAAGAACGAUAACAGUGGUGCCGACCGUGGGGAACCCUCGCCGCAAUUGAAGAUUUAAUGGCCCCGACGAAGCCUACUUCAUUGGGUCCCCAACUUGCCGCGAAGUCUACACGGUUCCAAACUGCCUCGGGGGCUCCCGAGGAAGAAGGAAUCGUCACCAAUCCGAACGUCGCCGCAAGCAUGGUGAAGCGAUCCUCCCCCUUACUAGGGUUCGAUCUCUGUGCUUAGGGUGCUAGUCCCUGGAUCGACUCACUAGCACACACAGUUUCAUGAUGAAGUAUACAGAAACAAAGGUCAAAAGUAUUUUAUUACAUCGCAUCAUCCUGAAUUUAAAUAGUACUUACAACCUCGCAUGACCUCUUGGGCCAGCAUAAAACAAAUACCGUUUCAUCAUCAUAAAACAAUGUUUCAAAACUACAGCGGAAAAGGGUAGCACAAAAGGGCCUCAACUACUCCAAGGUGAGUGCAUGUUGGAAUGUAAGCACAUGACACAUGACAAAACGACGAACCUCACUCAUCGUCGGAUCCACCUGCAUUGUUAAUUGCAGCCACUACGUGGUCAAUACAUUUGAAUGUAUUGGCAAGUUCACCAGAGUAGACCUACCAAGUACAUGCAUAAUUUGGCUAGGUGGAGUCUAGCUGUUUGCAUAAAAGCAUCAUGGUUCAAUCCUAUCAUUUUUAAACAAAUAGUUUUGAAUUCUAUUGGACACGGGAUAGAAACACCCAUGCUCCUAUUAACCUAGGCACAUUGAGUAGAAACAUCAAUGCUCCUACCCAGUUCAAACCAUUCAUUUUACUAGGAAAUUGGAAUGAGUGAGACCUUCCUUACAGUCCCAAUAUCUAGUUGCUCAUAAUUGUCCGUAACCGGGGACACGGUUAAGUACUUAGUUUGACACUCUCGAGAGGUGGUACACUUUACCCACAAGAAAUCGACGUGUUAAUCCCUUGCUGUCCUCCAGGUGGAGUAGCAACGGCAUCAAUUACAGGAAUUUUCAGAACAUAUUCCCCCAAACCACCUGAGGGACGCGUUCCAACCUACACUGCUACAUACCGAUGUCACCUCGAAUCCAGGUUCAUAUUUCUUACGUCCAUCCUGGCAGAGCCCAUAAUACCAUGUGGUUGUACUCGAAGCUACUAAAUAGGAAACUAGUCCAGUCUCUGGAAACUAGUCCAGUCUCUGGUUACCCCGGGUGGCAUUCCUGGGUUGCAAUGCAGGCGUUCCCAUAGAAAUGGCGAGACGACUCAUAGAAAUGGACCUGACGUCGCAUAAUCUCCACUUCCUCCAAGCAGCCCACCCAUGACGGUUUAUUGAAUUACUUGUUUUGCCAUACACUAGGAAAAUCAUACUUUAAUUCAAUAACCUCACAUUGUGAUAAUACCACCCUCGUAUAUUAUCAUAGCAUAGCAUUUUACUACUACGAUGGCAAUUGGUGGUAAAGUCAUGGCAAAGGUAUCCUAUACUACUAGGAGAAUCAUAGCAUAGCAUAGAUAAAAUAAUAGUCCUAACAAUGCAACUAAUAAAAUCUAGUGCAUAAUAAAGUAAUAGGUGAAUGAUCAAAGUGAAGUUGCCUUGAUAGUAGUUGGUAUUCAAACACUCUUCACAAUCACACAGUUCGCUCUCCGAGAAAACUAAACAAUACAAACAAUGCAUAUAUAAACACACCAUACAAACAAAAGAAUAUGUAUGCCAUGAUGCAAUGCAAAACAUCUGACAAGAGUUUGGUUUAUUUUAUUUGGGUGAUCUACUGAUCCUAAGCAUAAGUAAUCAAAACAAAUGCAUUAGGGUUUUAAAUAGAAAGGCAAAGGUUAGGGUUUAAACCCUAAAAUAAGGUUUUAUUUGCAUCAGCCAAAUAAAUUAAUUCAAAAUAUUUGUUUCUCUGUCCCAUUGGACAGAGGAUAAUAAAAUAUAAAAAAAUCAUUCAAAAAGGACUUCUAAAUAAAUAGUUAUGAUUUAAAUGGUAUUAAACCCUAUUCUGUAAUUUGAAUGUGAUUCAAAUAUUCAAAUUUGAAAUUGGACAGUGCCAAAAGAUUCUGCAAUUCCUAAGGAUUCCAAAAAGGUGUGGAUUAUUAAAUUUGGCCAAACCGAUUAAAAGAUAUGAUCAUUUGAAGUUACGGGGGUUUUUCUGCAAAAGUGCCAUUUCUAGAUAUUCCGGGAAGUAAAAAUUAGGUUUUCGUUUUAUUUACGCAGUGACACGUGGCGGCUCCUGAUUGGCGCGUACCGGUUCGUUUAAGUGAAAUAAAAAGGAUCUAAUCUGGGCCGUUGAGGACGGAUGGACGGACGAGAUCUCACCUCCGGGAACCUAGGGUUCCGGCGAGCUUCUCCGGCAGCGGCGCGGCACGGGCGGGCGGUUCCAGCGGGGCUGGCGCGACGGGGAGGUCACGGGGAGGCGCGGCACGGCACGGGGAAUACGGUGAUGCGGUCGGCGCGGGGUCGAGCGGUCGGAGUCCUCGCCUAGGUCGAAGACGAGGCGGCGGCGCGGGCGGCGGAGCUCUGGCGAGCUUCGGGCUCGGGCGUCGGGGCGCUGCAGUGCACAAAAAUGAAGACGGCGUGCGUCAUGGUGCGCGCGACAGAGAGAGAAGAAGAGGGAGGGCGGCGGCGUCGAAGAUGGCUCACCGACGUGACGACGCGGGGCGAGAGACGGCGGCGGGCGGCGACGAUCUCCGGCGAGCAAUCGCGGUGGCGUGGUCGCGCGAUUGACUGGGGAAGCAAGGGGGAAGAAGAGAGGGGGUCGCGGGGUUUAAAUGGACGCGCUUGGCGCUUAAAAAGGAAGGACGGGACGAGGAGAUUGCGGCGGUGAGCGCGCGGCGGCGAAACCGUCAGGCGGCGCGUCAGACGUGGGCGCCUUCCAAACGACGAAGACGACCCUGACAGGCGGGCCCCACCUGUCAGCGGCUCGGUGCAGGCGCUCGCGUGGACCAGGCCGGUCGGUUCGGCUCGGGCGCGCGGAACGGGGCCGGUUCAGCCCAUUUUGGCCGGGCAGGUCCGGCUUUCUCUUCUUUUUUUCCUUUUAGCCCUUUUCUUUUUCUGUUUUUCUUAUUUCUUUGAUAUCUUUUGAUUUUGAACUCCAAAUUGGUCCAAAUAAAUUCCAGAAAAUUUGUAAACCCUAAGGUUUGAUACAACUUUUGGGAGUAAUUUCCCUUCAAAAAAAAAUACAUAAAAAUACAUUUGCCCUAUAAAUGCCUUUAGGGCUAUAUAACUAUUUAAAUAAAAUACUUUUUCAACUCCAAAUAAUUAUCCAAAAAUUAUGGGAUAGCUUAUAUAUGCAUUAAACCCCUUUUAUACAUAAAACCUAUUGGUUUGAAGAUCCAAAGCUCAAAUGGGUGUAAACCCUAAGGUUUAAAUUGAAAUAAAAACUUUUAAAGCCUUUUGAGAUUCAAAUUUGGAUUCAAAUAUGCAAUUGUGGCAUGAUGCUUAUGGAUGCAAUGCACAUGUAAGAAUUUGAAAUUUUUGGGAUGGUACACAUGGUCGCGACGACGGAAGUCGUGGUGGCCCCUUCGCUACCGGCCGUCCCAGAAGGAACCGAGGUGCACGAAACCAUCGUAGGCGGUCCCUCGACACUCACCAACGUGGUGGCAAGGAUCGGCGAGCUGCCUACGGUUGCCGCCCCUGCAGGGGAUACGGAACUCGGCAUGCCUCGCUUGAUGAGCUUCACGCCACCUUCCCUACAACCGAUAGUGACCUUACCCUCGGAACCUACAAGAGGAAACAAUGUGGCGUCGGGAAGAUCCGCGCCGGAAAACCAAGGAGUCCCGACCUACGACCCUCCAACUCGGGGUUGCCUCGGUUGGCGCCUGCCACGAUCGCUCAUGGAGCUCCUUGGUAUCAUCCCUAUUGGGGGCUUCCACCGUAAGGAACUCCCCGAGUCGCACACGCUCAGCAGCAACCUCGCUUUGCGAGUGCCCCUCAAGCGCCCCUCGCUCCCCCCGUCGGGGUCGAGCAAGGUGGCAACCAGGUACCGCCUCAAGCUGCGCCUCGCGGGGAACGAGACCCCGGCGUGCAUGGGAACGAGCAAGUGGCGGAGUCCGGAGCCCGUGCCAGCGGCGAAAGAAAUUCCCAUCGACGCUCUGACCCCCCAAGAAAACGCCGAGAUCAUUCUCCGAGCGACCCCUCUAGCGACGAAAGCGACGAGGGAGGAUCUCGCCACCGAAGGAACCCAAAGAAUCGGCCGACUUGCAAUCCACUCACGCGGGAGAUCCAAGACGCGCCUUUUCUGCCAAGGUUCAAGCCGCCUACAAUACGGCCGUACGACGGGGAAUCGAAUCCUCUUUAAUUCUUUGAUGUCUACUCCACCGCAAUACGGGCUGCCAGGGGAGGUCCCAUCGAGAUGUGCAACCUCUUUCCGCUCGCGCUCACCGGGAUGGCGCAAACUUGGUUUUAUAACGUGCGAAAGAAUUCCAUGCACUCGUGGCAGCGCCUCCAAGAGGUCUUCAUCGCCAACUUUCAAGGAAAUUUCAAAGAACCCGUGCAGGCUCACGAGCUAUACUCCGAAGCUUCUUCCAACGCUUUGCGAAGGUGCGAAGCCAAAUCGCCAACCCGACGUCGACCACCGUGAUCGACGCAUGCAUGCAAGGUCUUCUCCAAGGAGAAGUGAAUCGGGCCCUAAGUCGUAACCCACCAAAGACGACCGAGGAAUUCUAUCGAAUCUUCCAAGAAUACGCCUGGGGCGAAGACGGGGACAUCGCCAAAAAAGACGCGCCACGCCCCGCACCCGAAGGAGCUCCCUCGUCCGACAAACCCCCUGCGCCUACUUUGUCUUCCAAGAAGAAGACGAGGUGGGGGAAAAAGGCCCCCAGCGACGAAGCCAGGAAGAUCUUCGCCGUUGAAGGACAAGCACCAACCCAAAAGACUUGGCAACCCAAGAAGCCACCUCGCCCCGCCGAGGGAGGAACUGGGAGAUGCCUCAUCCACAACUCGGCAAGCCACGGCACCAAAGAGUGCAACACUCUCAUCGCGGCUCGUGAAGAGUUCCAGGCACGAAUGCAAGCCCGGCGCAAGGAUGAGAAGACAGCCGAGGCUCCAUGCCCCGCCAACGUCCUUGUCGCUGACCCAGCACCCAAGGAGGAUAACCUCCCGUUCCAGGAACCCGCGUAUCACGUCGGAGUGAUACUCGAGGGCUCCACGACGGGACGGGGAUCAAAGCGGCAACGCAAGGAGUAUGCUCGCGAAGUCAACGUCGUGGGAACCUUCACCCCGACACCACCUCCCAAGUGGGCGAGCGUGCCAAUUGCCUUCACCGAAGAAGACUCCAAGGGGAUACGCUUCCCACAUGACGAAGAUUCUUGUGGAUGGCGGAAGAUCCGCUGACAUCCUAUAUCUGAGCAAGUUAAAGAAGCUGAUGGAGCCACAAGGGGGAUACAAGAACGGCUCGCUGCAGCCAUCCCUUUAUCACCUCACCGGCUUCGUGCCGGGGAAAUCCAUUCAGCCACUCGGACAAAUUGAGCUCCUCACGACCUUUGGAGACGCCGCGCACCAUCGGACCGAGCUCAUGCGCUUCGACAUGGUGGAUAUGCAAGCCUCCUUUAACGCCAUCCUCGGGAGGACGACGCUCAACCAUCUUUGCGCCGCCGUCCACCACAACUUCUUGUGCAUGAAGAUCCCAGGCCCGAAGGGUGUGAUAACGGUCUGCGGUGAGCAAUCUUCCGAUAGAAAGACACUCUACUGCCAUGAGACCAAGUGCGCCGAAAAGGGAGAAUCAUCCAAGAGUAUAAACAUGCUUUCGAACACGGGAGCAUCCGAAACCAAUCCCCAGGAGCGCUACAUCCCUAAGCCCCUCACGGAAGGAGAACUCAAGGAAGUACGCGUCUCCCAAGAUGACGCCACACGCACGGUGAAGAUUGGAGCCGACCUCUCGAGUAAGCUUGAGGAAGAACUCGUCGACCUGCUUCGGAAGAAUUCCGACCUCUUCGCUUGGUCACCUUUCGACAUGUGAGGAGUCCCGCACGACGUCAUGGAAUAUCGCCUCGCCGUGAGACCCAACAAAGCUCCCGUAAAGCAAAAGCUUCGGAAGCUCGGUCAUCAAGCAAUAAAUCACCAAACUCUCCAACGCCGGUCUCAUCCGAGAAGUUUGGCACCGCGAGUGGUUAGCCAAUCUGGUCUUGGUAAAGAAAGCCAACGGCAAGUGGCGAAUGUGUGUCGACUUUACUGACUUGAACAAGGCGUGCCCCAAGGACGACUAUCCGCUCCCUCGGAUCGACCCACUGGUCGACUCCACGGGGGGAUGCGAAAGGUUGAGCUUCUUGGACGCCUAUUCAGGGUAUCACCAAGUCCACAUGGCCAAGGAAGACGAGGAAAAGACCGGCUUCAUCACUCCCAUCGGCACCUUCUGCUAUAGCAGAAUGCCUUUUGGUUUGAGGAACGCCGGCGCAACUUUCCAACGCCUCGUCAACCUCAUCCUCAAAGAACAAUUGGGGAGAAACGCCGAAGUCUACGUUGACGAUGCCGUCAUCAAAAGUCAAAUUGCGAAGACCCAUCCCAAGGACCUGCAAGAAACCUUCGACAAUCUCCGCAAAUACGGAGUGAAGCUCAAUCCGGAGAAGUGCGCAUUCGGAGUUCGAGGAGGAAAACUCUUGGGCUUCCUCGUCUCUCAAUGAGGGAUCGAGGCCAACCCGGAGAAAAUCCGGGCCAUCAUGGAGAUGGAGCCUCCUCGCUCCGUCAAAGAUGUGCAACACCUAGCGGGAAGAAUGGCGGCCUUGGGACGAUUCGUUGCCUGGUCAGCCGAGAAGGGUCUUCCUUUUGUCAAAGCCUUGAGAAAUGAGAAGCCUCGACAACUUUGAGUGAACCAAUGAAGCUCAAAGGGUCUUCGAAAAGCUCAAGACCUAUUUGUCGACCCCUCCGCUUCUCACGAGCCCAAAGCAGGGGGAGCCUCUCCUCCUGUUCCUUGCCGCGACCCCGGUCGCCGUAAGCGCAACACUCGUGAAGGAAGAAGACGGGUCACAACGCCCAGUAUAUUACGUGAGCGAAGCCUUGGGAGGAGCAAAGGGUCGAUACACCCAGAUCGAGAAGAUCGCAUACGCCCUCCUCAUGGCCACUCGAAAACUCCGUCAUUACUUCAUGGGCCACACCAUCAUGGUACCAACUACCUUCCCACUCAAGGAAGUCUUCGGCAAUAAGGACGCCACCGGAAGAAUCGCCAAAUGAGCCACGGAAUUGGCCCCCUUCUCGCUGGAACUCACGGCGAGAACAGCCAUAAAAUCUCAAGUCCUGGCUGACUUUGUGGCCGAGUGGCAUGCUCCACUGACCCCGCCCGAAGAAAUCGCAUCCAAGAUCGAGCCCCCCAAACCACAUUGGAUAAUGAGGUUCGAUGGCUCCAAUCGCCUCGACGGCGCCGGGGCCGUAGUCAUACUCAUCAGCCCCGAAGGCAAGAUCUUGGAGUACGCCGCCCAUCUUGAUUUCAACGCCACCAACAAUAUGGCGAAAUAUGAGGCGCUACUUCUCGGGGUUCAACUGCCAAGGCCAUGGGAGUCCGACGCCUUCUCAUCCAAGGAGACUCCCAACUGGUGAUAAACCAAAUGGACAAGUCAUAUCAAUGCCUUGAUGAAAGGAUGAAGAAAUAUAUCGAAGAAGUUCGCAAGAUGGAACGGUAUUUCAUAGGCAUGGAGGUGCGACGCAUUCCAUGAGGAGAAAAUCACCUGGCCGACAGGUUAGCCCGAACGGCUAGUUCCAAAGAACCGCUGCCACCCGGUGCAUUUUUCGAAGUAAUUCGCGCCCCAUCCAUAAAGGAAGAAGCCAACACCCUUGACGAAGCUUCAAAGACCAGCAUGGUCAUCGAUGCUACACCCUCUUGGAUGACACCGAUUAUCCAUGCCUUGAAAGGCGAGGUGGACGAAGAAGCAGAAGGCCCAAGCGCCAAAACUUGCUCGCAAAAGCCAAGAUGUACGUCCUCCUCGACGGCAUCCUAUACAAGAAAGGAGCGGCCGCAUUGCUCCUGACCAAGGAGCCGAGCUCCUCAUGGAAAUCCACUCAGGAAUAUGCGGCCACCAUCUUGCGCCAAGAGCCACCGCGGCAAAAGCCCUACGUCAGGGAUUCUAUUGGCCCACCAUGAUGCAACACGCAAUCACCAUAUUGCGGAAAUGCGAGGCUUGCCAGAAAAUGGCUAAGUCGAUCCAUGUGCCCGUGACUUACCUGAAGAACAUCCCCAUAACAUGGCCAUUUGCACGCUGGGAUGGACCUUCUCGGGCCUUUCCCCGCAUGCAAUGGGGGCUGCAAUUACUUCGUGGUGACGAUUGAUUACUUCUCCAAAUGGAUAGAAGCAGCGCCGCUUGCCAAGAUCACGUCACAGGCCGUCGAGAAUUUUUUCUGGAAAAACAUCAUAUGGCGUCUCGCGAGAGCUAACCAUGGAUAACGACAAACAGUUCGACUAUGCGGAAUUCAUCAAAUUCUGUGAAUGCCUUGAAAUCAAGCUGCACUUCGCAUCCGUAGCUUACCCCAAGAGCAAUGGCGCAUGCGAAAGGGCAAACGGACUAAUCCUCCAAGGACUCCGCCGAAGGAUAGAACACACGGUUAGCAAAGCAAGAGGAGCAUGGGGAGAUGAACUCGCUAGCGUGGUUUGGGGCAUACGCACCUCCGUAAGCCGUUCCACGGGCCGAACACCAUUCUCUUUGGUGUAUGGAGCCGAAGCAGUUCUUCCCGCCAAGGUCGAGUUCCGCUCACCUCGGAUCGAAAGGCUCCAAGAAGCCACCCCAAUUGCCUUCAUCGAAAAUGAAGAGCAUCACAAGAUGGCCGUCGAUCUCGUGGAAGAAGCUCGUGACAAAGCCCUCAUGAGGCACGCCGUCUACGAGCAAAGCGCCGCACGCUUCUACAACACAAGAGUGCGGGAACGAGCCUUCCUCCAGGGAGAUCUCAUGCUGAAAAAGAAUAUCGACCCAAAGCUCCAACGCAAACUCAACCCUAAAUGGGAAGGACCAUACCGCAUCGCCGCAGUAUUGGGAAAUGGUGCAUACCACCUCGAAAAUAUGAAAGGGCAAAGCCUUGUCCAUGCCUGGAACGGUGACAAGCUCCGGCGUUUCUACGUCUAAGGAGGACCUUCAAGGACAAUCCUUGCCGCCCCCGAAAGAAGACUAUCCGCGCCCAACCGGCCUUUUCCCUACGAAACUUCAAGGGAUCGUAAGCGCCAACGAGGCCGCGUCUACAUAAGGCUUGUAAGUGUCCAUCGGGCCAUACCUUAAGACAAGGAAGUAAGGAUCAAUAAAACAAGUCCUUGAGGAAAAAUUAAGAGUGACACAAGACACUCACACGACUCAUCGUCGUAAAAAGAGCUGUUGUCGCUGUGCCGCUCACCGAGCUACGCGGAAAGGCCUCUGUUGGCCCAAGCAUCCUCUAAAAAAUGUCCACGGACAUAGGUCGCUAUUAGUGACUUGUUCCUUGGUGGAUCCUAGCGUGCCUCGAGGCCAUCCGCCAAGUUGAACCAAGUCCCCCGAGAGCCGGAAGCUCCUUAAAACGCAUUUAAGGAGAACGUAAAUAAGCAAGUUAUGCAUGAGCUUACUUACCUCGGAGAACCGUGCUACCCGUAUGCGAGACGUCACGCACGGGCCUGCAUGAUAGUAACCGGGUUAAGGCUCCAUAAUAAUCGCGGGAAAGCAUAGCUUCCUGAAGUCCGAAGAAGGAAAAUUCCGCAUGAAAUUUCCCAAACGGCAGGUCGAAAUGUCCGGAUACCUACCCGCAUAUCGAUAGCAACCCUCACAAGGGUACUAGAACCCGUGGCUCGUAACCAUGGCCCAAGGCGCCGAAGCUGAGUCGUAUCCCAAUGGCGACGGCAAUUGAUGACACAAAAGUGCAAUCAUAGCGAAUGAUUGGGAGCUGUAUAAACUGAGGAAAUAUAGUACUUCAUAAGAAGGAAAUAUAGUACUCCCUGAAACACAUGUUGAGCCAAGUUAACAUUUCCGAUAAUGUCGACUACAUGGUGAAACAUGAGAAAUACAUGCUAAGCUAAGUUAACAUUUCCGACAAUGUUGACUACAUAGUGAAGCAUGAAACACAACAAAAAAGCUGCCUUACAAUCUCUACGACUAAGAGCCUAAACAUGCUAGCCAUGGGGGCUAAGUCAAGUGGAGAUAUGCAACAUCGCAUAAGUAAGCAGCUGAGGUACAUCACCACCUCCGAGGGCGACGAGGCUCACACCUCACCGUCACCCUCUGAAGAGCGGGCUCAAGGCAACGCACGAAGCGUCAAGCCUGAGCGGGAAGAGGAGCACCUUGAUCUGUCAGAAACUUCUUCGCCCCGUGAGACAUCUCUCCCUCGAGCCCACUCAUCCCGGCACCGCCGUCCAGGACUGCCGCAACCGCCGACGAAACAAGUUAGGCACCAGUACUCAGGAGGCACUUCUUCACGGUAGGCUCAAUGAGCUCCACCUGGGAAGUAAGCACCCUGCUCACCUCAUCCACCGUGCGACACGGAGGAAGAUCCGGCUGGGGAGCACUCCUCAAGCAAAUCAUCUUCUCCCGAAUCUCGGUGGCCUAAGCAAGUAAAAGCGAAACCACCUCAGGACGACGAUCCGGAGGAGGACGAACACGAGGAGCAAGCAUCGGGCCGUCACUCGCCGCCGCCAACUCCACCUUGAGGGAAGCAGCCUCCACGCGGGCAUGCUCCCUAUCAAGGUUGGUCACCACCAAGUCCUCCUCAACUCGACGGGUCCUCGCAAUCUCGUCCUUCUGGCACUCCUCAGCAAGACGAGCCCUGGUCUCCACAGCUGCAAGCUCCGCCAAAACGCGGGAAAGCUCAGCCUCCACGGCCUCGCGCCGCACCCUCUCCGAAGCCAACUCACUCAAGGCAAGGGUAGACUUGGACAUCUGCACGUCCAAGGCAGCAGAAAGUGCCCCCACCUGAGUCUUGAGGGCAGGAAGGGCACCCACGGCAUCGACCAAACCCCUCACCUGCAAGGAAGAAGGAGUUAGCACAAAGCUAAUCCGAAGGACAAUGGGAGAUACGUCACGGAUGCUCACCAGCUCCAGUGUCACGAAAGGGUCUCUCGCUCCAUCCUUGAUCGUUGGAAGUGCUCCGUCCCUCGCUUGAGUCGGGGGCUCGCCCUCAAGAACCCCGAGCUCCACGGCCCUCGCACCUAAAAACAAACCAAGGAGAUCAUAUCAAAAUCAUUCGGAAAAAGAAUGACGUGACCAAAAGAGAAGGGCACUCACCCGAGGUAGGAGCAUCCUCCUCGGGACGCUUGCGACCAAUGGAGAACACCUGGACGCCCGCACCGCUGGCUCCGGUCGACAACUCCACCACUGAGUCGCUCCGAAGCCGAAGCCCCGUCUCGCAAGUGAAAGCCUCAACCUCGUAACUUAAAGGAGGAAGAACUUGCUCAAGUCCAAUCUUCCCCUUCAUGUGCAGGUCCAAGGUCACCCUCAGAGAGGACCUCGACUCGCCCACGACAGGAUCCGCCGAAUCCGCCGGGGUAUAGUCAAGAGAAGGAGAAGGAGUCGGGGGAGCUUUCCUCUUGCAUCCACUCGAUGGACGAGGUAUCUUGGGGACCGGCGUGACAGGCACCGCCAAGCCUAGCAUCGCCGUUCCCGCCUUCGCCCUCCCGCAAGAGUCCCGCAACUUGGACCCCACCGCCAACAUCGACGGUGUGGCCAAGCGGGAGUAGCGAUCGCCCACUCGGAGAAGGCGACCAAGCUUCGGGUCCUGUCGCACCGGCACCAUCUUCCCGAAGUACUUCGCGAUGAUAUUGUGGCAUCCCCCCUCACUGAUCUUGGUCUCGUAGUCGCAGUGCUCCGGUCCGCCGUACGGACCUAUCGGCUGCGCGGCCCACAACGUUGCCCUCUCCUCGAAAAAAGUCGCUGAAAAAAGACAAGCCAAAAUUGUUGAGUACCUUCACAAGGCAAAACAAUCCAAGCGCAAAGGGGAGAUGAGUGACACUCACGUGCGGUGACGAGCUGUGGAGGACGGAAAGAUCGAGGGAUCCCAAUCUCGGACCUCGGACGGCUCCUCAUCAUGAAGUGCCCCGCCAUCACCAUCUCCUCCAUGAGGUCAUGAAAGCUCCUCUCGGCGGACACCUCCUUGAUCUUGGCCACCUUCCAAAGAUCGGCCGACUGAGGGUCGCCGGGGUGAGACACCUCCCUAAGGCCACCCGCCCCAGAGUUCCAAGGGAGAUCACCCGUGUGCCGAAGACGGGUCUUCGAGGCCCGAAAAAGAAACCACUGGUACUCCCACUUGACAAACAACCUCUCCGCGCUCUUCCCCGGCAUGAGCAGGAAGUCGUCCCCAAAACCGGAACGAAGCCUCGGGUUCACCGAACCAAAGGCGCUCAGAGCAAAGCCGUCCGGGGUGAGCAACUCCCUCACCUCCACGAUGAAGUAAAACAGCAGAAGCUUCAUUGAAGGCUCCUCGUGAAUCGCCGUCUCACACAGCCACCUGAAAACGUUCAACCUCACGAUCGUCGACGGGUGAAGCUGGGCCAACUCGAUGUCAUACGUCUCCAGGAACUCCAGCAAGAAGGGGUGAACAGGCACACACAGGCCGGCGUGGAACCAAGCCGAGAAUGCCACGAUGCAUCCCGGACGCCGCCGCUGGUCGAGCCUCACCUCCUCACCAUUGGGCAGGAUACCGUCCCCCUUGGGGAAGUAUCCCGCCUCCUCCAGCUGGGCAAGAUCCUCGGGGCUCAUCGACGAAUGGAGAAGGUGGUCGUGUGCCCAUCCUCCGCCGUCCACCGGCGCUGUCGGAACCAAGGGAGGGCCACCACGAGGGCAGAAGGAGACCUUCUUCUUCCGCGACGGUCGGUUCGCCGCAAGCUGCGCCGCGGAAGACCCCCUCGACGGCUCACCAACCGGGCGCUCGACAUCGUGUUCCGCCAUCUCACCUGCAAAAAGGAUCCACCAAGAAUUAGCUAAAUGUGAUAAAAAUCUGAAAGGAAUCGACAAAAAAAGGAAGGAGCCAAGCUCCUUGGGCCAAAAUCCUCCGCCCGCGCGGGGGAAGGGAAGGCCGAAGGCCCCCUGGCCGCCGACCCACUUGCCUUUCGGCCCACCUACACUCAGCAAAAAAAAAGAGAAGAGCAGCAGGGAAGCCACAGUCCUCACCCGUGGGGUAUUCGGUGAAAUGCCGGCGUGCCCCGCUCGCGCCCGCGCCUGCACACGCACCCUGCCGCGCUCAUGCCUGCACCGCGUCCGCGCCACAACACACCUCGCCGUUCUAGGCCACGCACGCUGGCCCGCGCCGCGUCGUGCCACGCGCACACUCGCACGGCGCGCCCCCCGCCACGCCGAGGCCGCAUCAAAGCCAUGCCCGCAUCCGCUGUGAGACCCCGAGACCGAAUUUAUGCAAUUUAGCCCCAAAUGCUAACUCGCGCAUAAAUUAAGCCCCAGUGUCUCGCUACGAUGAACACUUCAAAUCAUACACGCAAUGUGUUCACCGCAGGUUGGAACAAAAAUUAUAACAUUACAUCACUUCUAAGACACCAGAUUAAGUCAAGCUCAUACAUGGAGCAAAAUACCAAGUUAUUACAAAUCACGGACACAUGUCCACAACCAUCAUUACACCAGCGGAAGCAAAUUAGGCCCGAGUACGAACAAAUUACAAUUAUUGCCUAAGAGGCUGAAACCGAAAGGAGAGCCCCCCACAAGUUCAUAGAACCCUGCUCUGGAAUCUUCUGGCUAAGCGUCGAAGCUGUCGUCGUCGAACUCCACGAAGUAACCACUCACUUGUUCCUCCGGAAACUCUGGAGAAAACAACGUUGCAAAGCAACUGAGUACAAAGUACUCGCAAGACUUACGGGAGAUCUAAACUAGAUAUGCAACAAGUCUCAAAGGAUGGAUAAUAUGGUGGGGUUAUGCAGCAGCAGAAAUAUCUGAAGAGACACACUAAUGACAUCGUCUAAGUAGAGGAUGAGAAGCGUCUACUAAGUGAGGUGAUCCUCUAACAACUAACACCAAACAAACACAACCUCUUAUCACCCCCACAACCCCUUGUGAGGAAAUGAUCCACAUGCACUCACACUUAAGCAGUUUUAAGCAUAUCCAUGGUUAAGGCUAAUUACUACUCAUGUUUAGGAGAUUAAGUUAAUUAAUUGGUAUGAGUUCUCUAUGAUCAAAUAAUGACCAACCAAGUCGUCCAUGACCCCGGACACAGCUUUCCGAAAGAUUUAUCCCUGCAGGGUGUGCCAAUUUACCCGUACACGUCCGUCCAACCCUUGACGCCACUAGCAUGGAACACACGCAAAAGCAUGUGCCGGCAAGAUUGAGCGACAUGACGUCUCCAAGCCCCACAACUAAUCCAGGGAACCACCCGACUGAGUCUAAUCCGAAACGAGAGCCCGGCCGAAGCGUCAUACGGACUCAAGAGUUGCGUGGACAGCUGGUAGUGGUUCGGUGUCCGCAAAAUGACCACUCCAGACUAGUGCCGCAAUCUUAUAUGUAUGCAAAGUACCAACAAACCUCCAAACACAACACCAGUGUAUAUGCGAUAUGCCAAAUGGAACGCCCGAACUAUGUGGCCCCUGGAAGAGCUAUGAAACGAGUAUUAAGCCGAGGGGGAACCCAUAUAUUCUCCCACGAGCGGUUAGUGCGAAGUUUCUUGGGUCGACGAAAACGAGAACUCAGUCCUUAGGUCGGCGCCAAUGGAACAAAACACCAAUGCGUUAGCACGGCCUCCCAUCGUUGCCUUGUGCAGGUAAUAGCAGGUCACAGUUUAAUAAUUGCACUUAAAUACAGAUAGUAGCAUGUGGAUGUAGCAAUUGUAUAACCCCAAGUAAGGACACUAUACUAGCAAUCUAAGCAAACUUCUAAUGACCAACUAGGGCAAUAACAAACAUGUGACAUGGUAAUAGGAUAAGGAACAAGACAACAGGCAUUUGAGUAGAGCUGACUAAAACUAUGCAAUUCUAGAGGCAUCGUGACAAGAACCGAGAACGUAACUUAAUGCAAGAAUGAGAGAGAGGCAUUGGGUAUAAUCAACAAGUUCAAGGAAUGGCUACUUGCCUGGAUUCUCGGUCGCUGGGCACCGAGAGAGGGGAUGCGAAGAAGUGUGGGAACCCGGAUCGUCAGCGGAGUAAGUCGGAGUCGCUAUCGUAAAGAACGAAAUCACACAAUACGCAAAUAAGUAACCAUUCACAGGUGCCAUGCACAAUACAACAUGAGAUGGCAUGUGACAACACGAUGCAACAAUAUGCAAGUGAAAUGAUUCCAUUUAGCAACAAAGUCAACAAUUAGGUGAUUAGAACAUGGUAAACAGUACCUUUAAAAUACACAAAGGGCCUAACCAAGUAUUCUACUGUGUUCUACAAGUUACAGUGAUCAACUUUGAUGUUUACAACAAUUACAGAAGAGUUACCAAUUUUAAAUUAGAGACUAAACAAGUUCAUACUUUUGAAUUUCAAAUCUGGGACAGAUUUGAAAUUUGAAACCUCAAAAUGUAAUUCUAAUUAUACAGUUAAAUUCCUUGCAUUUUUCUGAUUCCAAAACAUAUAUGGUUUGCUCAAAUUGGAUAUAGCAUGCAUUUACUAGGAAUUAAACAAGAUUUGAAACAUUUCUGGAAUUUAAAAACAAAUGAAAACACACGGAGAACUAAAACUACGCGGGCGCAGCUAGCCAGUGCGGCUGAUAGCGGGCCCGGAAGGGCUGACUAGGCGAGGCGCGCUAAGUUGGCUGCUACGUGGUCAAUACAUUUGAAUGUAUUGGCAAGUUCACCUGGAAGUUAUAACAGAUCCUAUCAAGUAUAUGCAAUUGAGGUAUAGUGGGAUUUUGGCUUUAUGGCGUGGAAGCAAAACAUAGUUUGUCUUACUAGAAUUGAAUGUUACAAUAUUGUUAACUAAUGGACACGGGGUAGAAACACCCAUGCUCUUAUUAACCUAGAGCACAUUGAGUAGAAGCAUCAAGUGCCCCUACCCUGUUCAAACCAUUCAUUUUAUUUAAGAAGUUGGAAUGAGUGAGACUUUUCUUACAGUCCUAAUAUCUAGUUGCUCAUAAUUGUCCGUAACCGGGGACACGGCAAAGUACUUAGUUUGACACUCUCGAGAGGUUGUACACAAUCACCACAAGAAUUCGACGUGUUAAUCCCUUGCUGUCCUCCCAGGGGAGUAGCAAUGGCAUCGACUUCAAGAAUUUUCAGAACAUGUUUACCCAGACCACCUGAGGGACCCGCGCUCCCACCUACACAACUACCUCAGUACAAGCCCUCGGAUCUGGGUUCACAUUUCUUACUCCAUCCAGCCAGAGCCCAUUUAGCUUGUGGUUGUACUAGAAGCUACUAAACAGGAAACUAGUCCAGUCUCUGAUACCCCAGGUGGCAUUCCACAUUUGCGACGCAAGCGCUCCCUGAAUCCACGGAAGAGACGUCCAUGGACGAUCCAUCUCCGAAUCCACGGAGACUCGACUCAGAGGGACACAUAGAAAUGGACCUGACGUCGCAUAACAUCUCAAAAUCUCAAAGCAGUCCACCCAGGAUGGUUCAUUAGGGUUGUUUUGCCAAGUUUCCAAAAUCACUCCACAUCAUCAUUUCACAUUUGAUUGAGAUUCUCUCCCUCAUAUACUAACAUAGCAGGGCUAGCAAUUCUAAUCACGAUGGCUAUUGGUGGAGGAUUAAUGGCAAAGGUAACCCUAUAGCUAGUAGGUCAAUCAUAACUAGCAUAAGUACGAGUAAUAGUCCCAUCAAUGCAUUUCUACAAACAACUCUAAUGCAUAAGUAUUUUAAGAACAAACGGUAAUAGGAUACGAUCAAAGUGAACUUGCCUUGGUAGUAGUUGGAGUUCAAACACUCGUCACAAUCGCAAGGUUCGCUCUCCGAAAAUACUAUACAAUCAAACAAACAUACACACACAUAAACACACAAUUCAAACAUGACAAAAGAAUGUAUGCUAUGAUGCGAUGCAAACAUGUGACAUGAUUGGGUUUAUUUUAUUCGGGUCAUCUACUGAUCUUAAGCAUAAGUAAUUAAAACAAGUGCAUUAGGGUUUUAAAUAAAGGCAAAGGCUAGGGUUCAAACCCUAAAAUGAGGUUUUAUUGGAAUCAGCCAAAUAUUUAACUCAAAAUAUUUAUUUCUCUGUCCCAAUGGACAGAGGAUAAUAAAACAAAUUUUUGGGCACUGGUUUCAUUCAAAAAGGACUUCUAAAUAAAUAGUUAUGAUUUAAAUGGUAUUAAACCCUAUUCUGUAAUUUGAAUGUGAUUCAAAAUUUCAAAUUUCAAAUUGGACAGUGCCAAAAGAUUCUAAAUUUCCUAAGGAUUCCAAAAAGGUGUGGAUCAUUAAAUUUGGCCAAACAGAUUAAAAGAUAAGAUCAUUUGCAGUUACAGGGGCUUUUCUGCAAAAGUGCCAUUUAAUUAUUCCGGGGGAUUAAAAUUAGAUUUUUAUUUUAUAAAUCGGGUGCCACAUGGCGUUUUCUUAUUUGUCGGUACCGGUUCGGUUAAGUGAAUAAAAAUAGAUCUAAUCUACACCGUUGAUCUCGAUUGGACGGACGAGGGGAGGUCGGGAUCACCUAGGGUUCCGGCGAGCUUCUCCGGCGGCGGCGCGGCACGGGCGGCGGCGGCGCGGGGUGCUCCGGCGACGCGGGUGGCUCGGGGAUGGCCGGGGAUGGCGCGGUGCGGCACGGCGGAGAUGGGGGCGCGGUCGGCGCGGGGUCGGGCGGUAGGGGUCCUCGCCUAGGUCGAAGACGAGGCGGCGGCGCGGGCGGCGAACUCCAGCGAGCUUCGGGCGCGACGGGGGCGGUGCUGCGGUGCAUCGAAAAAGAAACGGGGGGCGUCAGUGGAUGCGCGAGAGAGAGAGGAAGACGAAGGAGCAAACGGCGACGAAGAUGGCUCAUCGAGCUCGUCAGCGUGACGCGAAGACGGCGACGGCGCGGGUGCGGCUCCGGCGAAGAAUUCCGGCGGCGUGGGCACGUGCGAGCGGGGGCGAGAAGAGGGAAAAAGAAGAGGGGCGCUCGGGCUUUAAACGGACGCGAGCGGCGAAGAUUGGGAAGGUCGGAAUCUCCGGAUUCCGGAGAUUGCAGCGGCGGGCAGUCCGGCGCGGACUCAGCGCCGGCUUUCUUAACGGGGAAGAAGGCCCUGACGCGUGGGUCCCACGCGUCAGCGGCAGCGGGCGUGCGCGCGCGGACUGGUCCGGUUCGGGCGCGGUCGGGCGGGCGGUUCGGCCGGUUCGCGGCUUAGCGGGCCGGCCCAGUGGGUCGGUCCGUUCUAUUUUUUUUUAGGCUUUUUUUUUCUGUUUUGUUAUUUCUUUGAUAACUUUUGAUUUUGAACUCCAAAUUGGUCCAAAUAAAUUCCAGAAAAUUUGUAAAAUCAUGUUUUACCAUGAUUCAACUUUUGGGAGUAGUUUCCCCUCAAAAUAAAAUAUAUAAAAAUACAUUUUCCCUAUAAAUGCCUUUAGGGCUAUAUAUCUAUUUAAAUAAAAUACUUUUUCAAGUCCAAAUAAUUAUCCAAAAAUUAUGGGAUAGCUUAUAUAUGCAAUAAACCACUUUUUAUACAUAAACCCUAUUGGUUUGAAAAUCCAAAGCUUAAAUGGGUGUAAACCCUAGGGUUCAAAUUGAAAUAGAGUCGUUUCAAAGCCUUUUGAGAUUCAAAUUUGAAUUCAAAUAUGCAAUAUGCUCAUGGAUGCAAUGCACAUGUAAAAGUUUGAAAUUUUAGGAUGUUACAUAAACGGAAGCGGCGCGCAAAGUUAUUCUAAGUGGCACAAAGACCACCACAUCAUCCUUAAGGAGAACGACGGCGUGGCGCGACGAGUAAGCUCGCCGGCGGCAACCGGGGCGCGUGCGCACAGCUACGAAGCUAUGGAGCACUAAAACGAGCGCGGAAAGGAGUGGGAGAGAGAGGAGCUCACCCUGAAUCCUCCGGAGGAAGCUGACGAGGAUUUGGUGGACGGGCUCGUCUGAAUUUGUCGGAGAAGAGGCGGCGGUCGGAGUUUGGGAAGACGAGCUAGGCGUCGACGUAGACGAUCCCAGCCAAAUUCCUUGCACGUGGACGAAGAGGAAGAAGCGGCGGAGCUCGUGACGCGGUCGGGGCGUCGUGGUUCGGCCGGAGGAGGCGGCGUGAUGCAGGGGCGUCCACGGCCCGAAAGAAGCGGCGGCGGCGGCGCAAGAAACGAGGAAGAGGAAACCCUAGCUAGGGUUUGCCUGGCGCUGGGAAAGGGAGGAGGCACGACGCAGCUUAAGUAGGGGCCCGGAGCUCUCCCUGUCGCUGUCGAGGGCGGACGUGGCGCGCGGGCUCCAUCGGCCAGGAGGAAGAAAGCAAAGGUGGAAGAAAGCCUGUGAGACAAGGCAUAUUUCCGGAGAAUGCGCUUUCGCUGUGGGGAAGCGGAACGCGGACGCUGCGCGAGGUUGCGGGGCCGAGCUAGGCUGCGGCGCGGCGGGAGAAGAUGGGCCGAGCUGGGCUGCGCGCGAAAUUGGGCCGAGGUAAGCAGGUAAGGUUCUUUUUCUUUUUCCUUUUCCUUUUCUGUUUCUCUCUCUUUGCAAAUAACUUUGGAUUCAAAAUUCACCAAUUUGAAAAGCUGAGGAAUAGGAGAGUUCAAAUAUAGUGCUAGUAUUUGAAAAUGUUCAAAUGGAUUUACAGAUUGAAAAAUCCAUUUGACUCUCUUUAAUAAAUUAUGGAAAAUUCAUAUUUGAAUCAUCUAGCAAAUUCAAACAACAAGAAUUCAAACCACAAGUUGAGAUGCAAAUUUAAAACUCAUGUGACACAAACAAAUAGACAUGGCAUGGCAUGGAUGCAAAUGUAAAAUGUUAUGCAACAAGAAAUAAAUUACAAACAGGUCCACACAAAGGGCUUAAUGUAAAUGUUGCUCUUGGGAUGUUACAUCCGCGCCGCGUCCUGAUGUGCGCACGACCGCACCGCUCCCUCGCUACACCAAGCCAAGGCCGCGCCCACACGGGACGCACCCACGCCCUUGCCGGAUCGCGACGCCCCGAGAGCAUUCGGCAAAAUGCCCGCAAGGGUUGCCAACCCAAAAACGCAUCAAGGACAGAGUCACAAAGCUUCCACCCACCUUGACACGAGCAAGAAGGGCAUGGACGAAGACGAGGAUCUCCCGGGAGGACUUGUAGGCACGAUCGACACCUCGCCCCGGGCGGCCUCAAACGUGCUCCGCGCCCCCACGACGACUCGAUGAUGGAGAGCUUCCGCGGCGGUUCUUCAGCGACCAACGCGACCUCCGUCGUCGCUAAGGAGUAGCUAAUGCCCCUGCGAAGCUCCCUACUACACCAAGCUCUCGAAGGAAUGCCGGGUGCCGCCGAACGCGUCUUCAACACCGGGCAAACCAAACAAGUGUGGUGUGAAGCUCCACAGUGCCCAAGGUCUCCAUUUUAUAGGCCAUCGGAGCCCCUAGGCGUCCGGGCCGGGCCAAUGGUGCGGCGACACCUCGCCGUCCUUCUCACCAAGGAACAAGACAAAGGGGAGGGAAGAAAUGGGAAGGGGAAGCGCCCCCUUUUCCCUAAAGGAGGUUGGCCUGGCCGAAGGAGGGCGCCCCGCGCUCGGGUCCUGCGUCCUCGCCGCGCCGGCGUCACCCCCGGUGACGAGCUCUGACUGCAAAAGGCGAAAGAGAAGGACCGUUCGGUCCCCUCCCGUACGAAGGUAGACGACGGCCCAGGGCCGUCCGAUCUAGGGCACACCCCUGCCUGUGGCCGUCAGAUCUUCAACUUAAAUCCCGAACCGGUAUCAAGGCCAACUGGGCCCCGGCCCAGUAAAAGCCCAAAGAAGCCGGCCUAAAAAAACUAAGGAAAGCCUCCCAGAGGAGGCCCAACUAGCGGCCCAGCUCGCGUCCGCGCGCGCACCAGGCCAGCCCGGAUGGCCCGUGCAGCUGGCUGAGUUCGAGGAAAUUUGCAAAAAGGCCCAAGACUUCGGAAGAAUUACCAAUAAGACCUCAGAAAUUUUGGGGAGGCCCGCGGGGCCCCUGAUUUUUGCAAAAAAGUCCUUCGGACACCGGAUUUCUCGCAGAGAGGCCCCUGGGGUCCCUUUUUUUUGCUAAAAUACCCCCCGAAACUCAAUUUCUCGCAGAGAAAAUCGCCGUAGGCAUGAAAUUUUCUCGAAACGCCUCUAAGGCUCAUGUUCUUUGCAGGAAAACCACCAAGUACCUCUGUUUCUCACAAGGAAACUCACUAGGGAAUCCAUCAAAGACACCAUCAUGAAUCCAAGAACGAGAAAAAGGAUCAAAAGUCUCGCAUCGAAGGUUGACCCGAAGGCAUUCUCAAUGCCUCCAGCUCAAGGGGGCUACUGUUGUAGUAAACUAAAACCCUUAUAUGGGCCGGGCCGUAAAUCCUAUGUGGCGACGACUAAGUCAACAUUUCCCAAGCAUGAGUCAAAACGCCCACGUGGCGCGGUGAAUCGUACGUGGCAAAGGAAGACAAGUCAACAAGUCAAGCCUCUCAUGCCAUGGUCAAAGGAUCAAAUGAACUAGAGUAGGGGGUAAGAAAGGUGUGAGGAGGGGGCCCUUAGUCCAUGGUGGACCAUGGACCAAACCCCACUUUUCUCACAUGGUGCACACAAAAGUUAUGAACCAAGGAGCUACUUUUACCAUUUUGCCCCCACUUUUCUCUCUCCCCAAGGAUAGCCAUGGUCUUUGUCAUGAACCCCUAGGCUAUAAAUACCCCCCAUGGAGGCAUGUACCACUCACUCUCACUUGAAUAAACUCAAGGGGAGAGGGUUAGAGUGCUCCCUCUAAGGUUCGCUCUCGCGCGCCGCUCUCGACUGAAAGUCGAUCGGCCUCGAGGAAGCCUUCUAGGGGACUCUAGUUUUGAGGCUCCGAGCUAAUCUUGGUUGGCACAGGCUCGAAGGAGAAGGGGUUGGGUUAGAGUUCCGAGAGUAUCCUAACCUCGAUACUUGGAAAGACGCAUUCUGUCCAAGUACGAGGCGGCCCCGACGAAUCUCUCGCUAAAAGGUGUCUUGGGAAGAUCCGCUCGGCCCAAGCCCUUGGCUAACAACCCCCUCGAAGCCUUUCCCAACAUAGGAUUAAGUCGCACCCGCAGGGUCGGCCGAACCUAUUCAAAAAAUAUCGACGUGUCAACUUGUCCAAGUAUACGGCGACCUUCGCUAUAAGGCCGGCGUACACGGCCUACUUUUAUACCCGCACUUGUGCCAUCGAGUAUUGACACCCCUUACUCUAAUUGGUGUCAAGAACGACAACACAACCAGAUGAUAUCCCGCGCGUUGCUGCGGAAUUAGUAUGUCAAACACUUAAGAAUGAUGAGAACUCUUAAAGAAUACAUAAAUGAUAAGAAAGGAAAAGUAAUUUGACCACUCCAUCAGAAUGUUUGUAAGCUCUCGCGAACCACAAUUGCAAAUGUGUAGUGAGAAAGAAGCUUGGAUGCCAAUUACACAAAUAAAUUAAGGAUACGUCCUUAAGUAACCGUCACACUUUUUGACAAUCCUAGAUUGUUGUUUUGCAAAUUACAAAAACAAAAUCAGAGCUGAGUAGGAAGCAUUUCAAGUCGAUGAAACAACUAUUGUAUUAUGUCAUUCAUGUGUCGUAAUGUUCCAAAAGAUUUUUUUUCAACAAAAUAGUUAUUUUCAACAAAAAAGUUCUGAUACAAUAAGAAUAUUAUUGGCUAUGCUAACUAUAUGAGCAAUGAAGCGCAUCAUUUUAUUAUUUCAUUAUCCACUAGUUGACAUCUAGAAUUUAGGGAGAGUCAUAUGUUCAUAUGGGAUCAACAACUCCAUUUGUUACGAAGCAUCUCACAUACAUGGUUCAUGGACCAUGCUGUAUAACCUUGAAAGGAACAUAACUUCUUGGCCAUGCAAGCACGCUCACAACGCAACUUGUAGAAACCCUCCCUAACUUUAAACGUAUAUAUAAACCAUGGCAUCAAUUUAACUAAACAUGAUUCCCGGAGUUCCCAACUUUUUAUAUAUUAUACAAAAUAGAAGUAGACCCAAAGAAAAUAAUUUACUUCUCUUGGAAUAACACUUGUACAACAAAAGAGAAAGGCAAAAUCUAAAUUAAACUUUAUGGGAUAACUAAUACCAUACAUACAAAUCAGUUUAUUAUGAAUAAUUUUUUUGCAUAUUGGUAUUGCUCCAGACCUUAGGAUAUAAUUUUAUCUACAACAAACAGCCAGGACCCUCUAAAUGUUUUACAGGACUUUUUGGUAGUUGUACAUAAGAAUACACCAUUUUUGGCAGACCGUUCGAGCACUUCUGAAAAUCUAACCAUAGUUUAGCAUGAAUAAAACUAUGGGCAUAAGACAUAUGGUAGUGUGUUUGGUACAUUUAUGACUGAAACAUGUUGCUGGCUGUAUGCAUCAGACUUGAGAAAAUAAUGCCAGCUUAAAAUAGUAGUUCUUAAGUUAGACCACUGGGGUGCUUCAAUGUUCAUCGAACAACUUGUCUACAGACUUUAGAAAAUAAAUGUGCACAAAGAACAGGUAAAGAAAUAACAAAAGUAUAGAUGUAAGCUUUUCUCAACAAAAUUAGUGGCAUGGAUCUGAAUGAACUGCGGCAGCAUAGAUAUAUUAUUAGUGUUUGUUAGAAAGCUGCGAUGAAAAGAUGGUCCGUGUUUUGUGGUAAUCAACCUGAAUACUGUCAUUUCUGAUUUCAGUAAAUGGAGACAUGGAUGGUUGUUGGAUUCAAUAAAAUCACUUAUGCCAAAUUAGCAACCUGGGAAAAAUGGCAACAUGUUUACACAGGAGAUAACUGAAUGCAUGUUGUAAAUCCAGCAACUGCACUUCUAAUCUGCAUCUAGCGUAGCUGGAUCUGUGCAAUUUUAUCCUCUGUUACUCGAUCAACUACUCAGCAGAGACAUGAAAAAUAAUUGACAGAUGUAGAAAAUAGUUUGGCGAUGAAGCAGUAAUACAAUAGUGGAAGAUUGAGAUUAGGGAAAAAUCUGGCCAACCUUGGUAUUGCGAGGUAACUGAAGUGGGCCGACAACGAUGGCUGCAGAUUCUUCCCGUCCAGCACGCGUAGUAGCAGCAGACCAUGAGAAGACGUUGGCAAGGGCCCCAAAUUCAUCCUGGCCAACGCGCUAUCCUUCUGAGAGCGAAACCUGCUGAAUCGUUAUCUUCUUCGAGCCACCCUGUUUUUUCAUGCCAUCAAUCCCCACCAUCCUCACCUCCCUCCUCGUUGCAGGAUUUAAAUGGUUUGAUUUGAAGAUGAAUGGUAAAUUAUCAGCCAUUACUUCAACCAAAACUUGAUGAAGACAAUAGUGUAUCGUGGUAAAUUAUCAGCCACUUGUCCAUUCAAAAUUGGGCACAAUAGCUUAAGUGACAAUUCACUGCCUUACCUUUUUUCUUCUCCAUCAAUAAUAGCCAGCAGAUUAGAGGCCAAACAAAAUGAUGAAACUCCAGCCCUCCAUGUACCAUAGUCAUAUAUAUCCUUCGCUCUUUGCAUACAGAAAGAAAUCAAAUAGCAUAAUAUCUGAAGGUAUAUAGCGUUUAGUGUGAGUAUUGUCACUUUUAACCGUAGUGUCUCCUUCCAUCUCUGUUAGACUGUUACUCUCUGUUACCUGUAUAUUUAUGUUGCCCUACAAUAUUUAUGAGAAAGUAUGGAACAUCAUAGGCCAACUUAAAUUAUAUUCAACAAACAAUGCAUAUGCUCAUCCAAUGCAAUCAGAUGGUACAUCAGUAACAACAGCAAAAGUAACAACAGAAAUUAUAGGUCAGAACCUUCUGUACCGUUGCAAGAAGGUUGUGCUGGAAAAUUUGACGCAUGCAAAAUCGAAUCGAAUCCUGGACCCUGUGUACCGAUACAACCUCCUCCUCCUAAUUCCAGUGGGCAACGCUGAGAACCAACGCAAACCCUGGGCCGACAAAACAUCAAACAGGUUGUAGGCAGAAGUCAAUAUCAGAUAUUUAGAAACAUCAGAUUGAAAUAUAUGAACUUGGGGACUUAAAGAAAAAAAAAGGACCAAAGAGCAGGAGAGGUCACCUACCUGAGCGAAGGCCGGUCGAGUGAGAGCGCGACUCGAGCAGGUAGUAUAGACAGGGGUCCGCAGGUUAGGGUCGCGCCGCGAGGGCGUGCAUACGCCCCAUCACCUUCUUGGGCUUGGGAGGGCGGGGAGUGGGGCCUGGUUGGGCGACGGCAGGGAGGCAGGAGGGUCCGGGUCAGGCGGCGGCAGGGACUCGGGUGCAGCGGACGAAGGCAGGAGGUGAGAGAGGCGGGGGGCGGCGUGGCAUCAGUGGAUGGCGGAGGCGGGCUGGUCCUUCUCUCUCCUUUUUAUGGUCGCAAGUGCAGGGAAGGAGAGGAAGCGGAGAGGGUGCCGUCGGGAUUGAAGCAUAGGAAGGAGAAGGGGAAUAGCUGUACUCAAAUGCGCCCAGGAAGUUGA